RNAcentral lists this long non-coding RNA (44719 nucleotides) under Homo sapiens (human). RNAcentral's name for it is "HSALNT0349006". Lineage: Eukaryota; Metazoa; Chordata; Mammalia; Primates; Hominidae. The record is from RNAcentral.
AGCACAUCCGUUUUCCUUACAGUAUGUAGUACGCAUUCUACCUUUUCCUACAAUGAAUCCACCAGCAGAAAUUCCUGUACACAUCUUAUCAAUUCGUCUCUCAUUCUAUUACAGGUGGCUCAAAGAGGUCAGGAGGCACCUUCAACACUUUUAUUGGAGAUCUCCUUGUCUAGAUCAUCAGGUUUGUCAGGUGUAUAUUUUCUAUUUUUAUGUUGUCACAUGGAACAAUUUUGCUAAAUUUUGUAAUACUUUAAAAAAAAUCUUUUUUACCCCAGCUUCCAAUAACACUUAUCUCCCUGUCCUUCCAGCUUGCAUAAUUGUCUCCCUCGGUAUCAUCUGGCCUUUACUGACAGCCUUCCCAAGGCUCUUCUGGCUCCCAUCUAAUCCAGUUUCAGAGCCAAUGCCAUGUUUUUGUCAUGUUAGCUUCCUACUUCCAGCUCCCAAAUUUCUGUCCCACUUAUUAUUACUAAAUAACGAUGACCCCAAGUUUACUGGUCUAGUUAUUGUACUGGCUUAAACCAACUGCUUUAUGAUUUUCACAAAUUUGUGGAACAGAGAUUCAAACAAAGCACAGUAAGGAUACAGAAAUGACUUUCUCUUGCUCAAUGAUGUCUAGGGUCUCUUCUGGGAAGACUAAAAAAUUGUUGGCUUUUAAUGAGUGAGCGCUAGAAUCCUCUGGAGGAGUAUUUAUUCACUUGUCCAGUAGUUGUUACUGACUGUUGUCUGAGUCCUCUGGGGGUGCUGUCAGGCAAACCAUCCAUGUUUGGAUCAUGCAGUAGAUAUAUUUCUAUCAGUAAGGCAUCUGUACUACUAUUCUCCAAAGUAAUUACACCAUUUUAUGAUCCCACCAAAAAUGAAUAAGAGUAAUGAUUAUUCCAUAUUCUCACCAACAUUUGAUAUUAUUAAUGUUUUACUUUACCCAUUCUUGUGGUCAUGAAAUAGUAUCUCAUGCUAUAGAUAGUGUAUUAAUCCAUUUUCACAUUGCUGAUAAAGACAUACCUGAGACUGGGAAGAAAAAGAGGUUUAAUUGGACUUAUAGUUCCACAUGGCUGGGGAGGCCUCAGAAUCAUGGUGGGAGGUGAAAGGCACUUCUUACAUGACAGCAACAAGAGAAAAAAUGAGAGAGAAGCAAAAAUGGAAACCUGUGAUAAAUCCAUCAGAUCUCAUAAGACUUAUUCACUAUCACAAGAAUAGCAUGGGAAAGGCUGGCCCCCAUGAUUGAAUUACUUCCCACUGGUUCCUUCCCACAACAUGUGGGAAUUCUGGGAGGUACAAUUCAAGUUGAGAUUUGGGUGGGGACACAAUCAAACCAUAUCAGAUAGUAUGAAAAUUAAAGUAAUGAUAUUAUUUUAAUUUCCCUGAUGACCAAUAAUGCCAAACAAUUUUUCAUGUAUGUUUUUUGCAAUUGCAUAUAUUCUUUUCUGAGGCAUUGGUUCAAGUCCUUUCUUUUUUUCAAAAAUUGGGUUGUCUUUAUUAUUGAUCUAUAGAAGAUAUAAUUAUGUUAGAUAUAAAUAUUAGAAAUAUUUUUUCCAGUCUAUGGCUUGCUUAUCAUUUUUAAUCUAUAUUUUUGAUGUACAGAAUACUUAAUUUUUGAUGUUCAAUUUUAUCAAUUUUUUCUUUUGUGUGCUUUUUGUAUUCUGACUAAUUUUGUGAGGUUUCUUGUCCUGUAUUUGCAGCCAAGUUUUUCUAUUUUGUUGUUGUUGUUGAUUAUAAAGUGCUUGUGCUCAGAAGUUUCUUUAUUUUACUUUUCUAUUUAUUACUGAACUGUGACAUUUUAUUUUAACCUCCUUUAUUUACACAUUCUACAUUUCUCCUUCGAGGUAUUUUCUUAAAAAAUCAUAGAGUCAUUUAUCUCUUAUUAUUAAAAAAUAUUUUCCCAAACACUUUCUCAUGUAUUUCUUAGUGUGAUCUCAGUUCUUUAUACAUUAUUAGUCUAAUUUUUACUGAUAAUUAUUUCCCUUUAACUUUUGCUGCAGUUUUGUUUGUUUGUUUGUUUUGGUAAUAGCCAAAUGUAACUUCGAUGUUAGUUUAUUAGUCAGGGUUCUCUACAGGGACAGAACUAAUGGAAUAUAUAUAUGGGAAUUUAUUAAGUUAUUAACUCACAUGAUCACAACUUCCCACAAUAGGCUAUCUGCAGGCUGAGGAGCAAGGAGAGCCAAUCUGAGUUCCAAAGCUGAAGAAUUUGAAGUCCAAUAUUUGAGGGCAGGAAGCAUCCAGCACGGGAGAAAGAUGUAGGCUGGGUGGCUAGGCCAGUCUCUCUUUUCACAUUUUUCUACCUGCUUAUAUUCUAGCUGCACUGGCAGUUGAUUAGAUUUUGCCUACCCAGAUUAAGGGUGGAUCUGCCUUUCCCAAUCCACUGACUCAAAUGUUAAUCUCCUUUGGCAACAUCCUGGCAGACACACCCGGGAUCAAUACUUUGUAUCCUUCAAUCCAAUCAAGUUGACACUCAGUAUUAACAAUCACAGCUAGCUUCUAUUUAGAUUUUCCCAAUCUUGAUUGGGAGAUCUUACGGAAUUUCUGAAGAAGUCUGUAUGGCAUGGAAUAAAAGAGAAUUAGCUGCUGCAUUUGGACCCAAAAUGGUAUGUUUUUAAAACAUCAAUUAUCUUCUCCCCAUGUUAUUGUUUUCCACUUUGGAGUAAUGUUUCUCUCAAUUUUGUUGUUGUGAAAGCUAUUGGGCUUCACAGUGAAGGCUCAGGAUUAAAUGCCUAUGCCUCUCUCUGUAGAAAUAGUCUGGCUGCUUUCUCCUUCUCCUUCAUUUCUAUCUCACUUUGGGGCAUCUUCCUGGGCAAAAAGUUUAAGGAAUAUAAAGUAACAAGAGCAUGCAUGUGUGGUUCUUUCCCUGUCAGGUCCAAUUAUCCUAUAGAUCUGAUAUGUGGGUCCGGGGCCUUAGGGAAUAUCCUUUGUUUUUGCUGUAGCCCGUCCAAACUUGUGAAUUCAUCACUUGAAGUCAAGAAUUGUUAGAUGAGUUUUUAAAACUGUCUCACAUACACUAUAUUCACUGAGCACUGAAAGUUGAGGGUUAACUCUCAGAGCUAUUUCGUCCAAAUUUACCACCUGUAACAGGUUUUCUUUACAUUUCUGUUUUGAAGUCACAGAUAUUUUCUUGAUUCAUUUAAUAGUUUUUGUUUUUAUUACUUUUUAUUUACAUUAUUUAUUUUAGAUUCAAGGGGUACAUGUGCAGGUUUGUUACAAGGGUGCAUUGCAUAAUUCUGGGGUUUGGGCUUCUAUUGAACCCAUCACUCAGGUAGUGAGCGUAGUACCCAAUAGUUUUUCAACCAUUGACCCUCUCUCUCCCUCCCCACUCUAGCAGUACCCAGUGUCUAUUGUUCCCAUGUUUAUGUCCAUGUGUACCCAUUGUUUAGCUCCCAGGUAUAACAGAGAACAUGGGGUAUUUGCUUUUCUGUUUCUCCAUUAGAUCACUUAGGAUAAUGGCCUCCAGUUGCAUCUAUGUUGCUGCAAAGGACAGAAUUCCAUUCUUUAUUACGGCUGUGUAAUAUUUGAUGGGGUAUAUGUACCACAUUUUCUUGAUCCAAUUCACCAUUGAUAGGCACUUAGGUUGAUUCCAUGACUUUGCUAUUGCGAAUAGUGCUGAGAUAAACAUGUUGAGAAAAAGCAGGUGUCUUUUUGUUAGAAGGAUUUCUUUUUCUUUGGGCAAUUACUGGUAGUGGGAUUUCUAGAUCAAAUGGUAAUUCUGUUUUUAGGUCUUUGAGAAAUCUGCAUACUGUUUUCCAUAGGGGUUGAACUAAUUUACAUCCCACCAACAGUGUAUUAGUGCUCCCUUUUCUCCAUAUCCUCACCAACAUUUGUUAUUUUUCUACUGUUUAGUAAUAGUCAUUCUGACUGGUGUAAGAUGGUAUCUCAUUGUGGUUUUAAUUUGCAUUUCUCUGAUGAAAAGUGAUGUUGAGUAUUUUUUCAUAUGUUUGUUGACUGCUUAUAUGACUUCCUUUGGGAAUUAUCUGUUCAUGUCCUUUGCCCACUUUUUAAUGGGCUUAUCAGUGUUUUUUUCUUAUUAAUUUGUUUAAGUUUCUUAUAGAUUCUUGAUAUUAGUCCUUUGUUGGAUGUGUACUUUGCAAAUAUUUUCUGCCAUUCUGUAGGUUGUCUGUUUAUUCUGUUGAUUGUUUAUUUUGCUGUGCAGAUGCUCUUUAGUUAAGUCCCAACUGUCAAUUUUUUGUUUUGUUACAUUUGCUUUUGAGGUCUUAGUCAUAAAUUUAUUGCCUAGGCCAAUGUUGAGAAAGUUUUUCCUGGAUUUACCUCUAGGAUUUUUAUGGUUUGAGGAAUUAUAUUGAAAUCUUUAAUCCAUCUUGACUUAAUUUUUGCAUGGUGAGAGGUAGGUGCCCAGUUUCUUUUUUCUGCAUAUGGCUAGCCAGUUUUCCCAGCACCAUUUAUUGAAUAAGGUGUCCUUUGCCCGUGAUUUAUUUGGGUCAACUUUGUCAAACCUGAGUUGGUUGUAGGUGUGUCACUUUAUGUCUGGGUUAUCUAUUCUGUUCCAUUGAUGUAUUUCUCUAUUUGGUUGUACAAAUACCAUGCUGUUUUGGUUACUAUAACCUUGCAGAAUAGUUUGAAGUCAAGUAAUGUGAUGCCUCCAGUUCUGUUCUUUUUAUUUAGGAUUGCUUUGGCUAUUUAAGCUAUUCUUUGGUUUCAUAUAAAUUUUAGAAUUGUUUUUCCUGACUGUGAAAAGUGGCAUUGGUGAUUUGAUAGAAAUUGUCUUGAAUCUGUAGAUUGUUGAAUCUGUAGAUUGCUUUGGGGAGUAUGGUCAUUUUAGUGAUAUUGAUUCUUCCAAUCCACACAUGAAAUGUUUUCCAUUUCUUUGUGUCAUCUGUGAUUUCUUUAAGCAGUGUUUUGUAGUUCUUCUUGUAGAGAUAUUUUACCUCCUUGGUUAAAGGUAUUCCUAGAUAUUUUAUUUUUUGUGGCUAUUGUAAAUGGGAUUGCAUUAUUUAUUUGUUUCUCAGCUUAGACAUUAUUGAUGUAUCAAAAUGCUACUGAUUUUUGUACAUUGAUUUUGUACCCUGAAACUUCACUGAAGUCAUUGAUUAGAUCUAUGAGUCUUUUGGAGGAAUCUUUAGGGUAUCCUACAUAUGAAAUCAUACCACUAGCAAAGAGAAAAUUUGACUUUCUCUCCCUAUUUGGAUGCCUUUCGUUUCUUUUACUUGUCUGAUUGCUCUGGCUAGAACAUCCAGUACUAUGUUGAAUAUGAGUGGUGAGAAUGGAUAUCCUUGUUUUGCUCUGGUUCUGCUUCCAACUUUGCCCACUCAGUAUGAUGUUGGCCGUAGGUUUGUCAUAGAUGGCUCUUAUUAUUUUGAGGUAUAUUCCUUCUAUAUCUAGUGUUGAGGGUUCCAUUCUUGAAGAGAUGUCAGAUUUUAUCAAAUCCUUUUUGUGUCUGUUGAGAUGAUUAUAUAGGUUUUGUUUUUAAUUUUGUUUAUGUGUUGAAGCACAUUUAUUGAUUUGUAUACAUUGAAUUAUCCUUACAUUACAGGAAUAAACUUACCACCUGGUAGUGGUAAGUUACUUUUUUUGAUGUGAUGCUGGAUUUAGAUUGCUAGUAUUUUGUUGAGGACUUUUGCAUCUAGGUCCAUCAGGGAUAUUGGCUUGUAGUUUUCUUUUUGUUUUGUCCUUGCUGGAUUUUUGUAUUAGAAUGAUACUAGUUUCAUAGAAUGAGUGAGAAAGGAGUCCCUCCUCCUUGAUUUUUUUUUUUUUUUGGAAUAGUUUAAUUAAGAUUGAUACCACUUCUUUGUAUGUUUGGUAGAAUUAGGCCAUGAAUCCAUUUGGUCCAGGGCUUUUUCUGGUUGGUAGAUUUUUUUAUUUACUGAUUCAGUCUCAUAAUCUUUUUUUAUUACUGAUUCAAUCUCAUAAUUUGUUAUUAGUCUAUUCAGGAUUCCAGUUUCUUCCUGGUUCAGUCUUGGGACAUUGUGUGUUUUUGGGAAAUUAUCCAUUUCAUCUAGGUUUUCUAGUCUCUGUGCAUAGAGAUGUUCAUAGUAGUCUCUGAGGAUCUUUGGUAUUUCUGUGGUAACCUUUAUGUAACUGUCCAACGUGUACAUCUUGCCCAUUCCCCAGACAGAGCUGACUGAUCAAAACAUGGGAAUUGCAAUGAAGAAAAUAAUUCACACAGAGCCAGCUGUGUGAGAGACCAGAGUUUUAUUAUUACUCCAAUCAAAUAUUCGAGUAUUUGGGGAUCAGAGUUUUUAAGGAUAAUUUAGUGAGUGGAUGAAGGACAGUGAGUCGAGAGUGCUGAUUGGUUGGAUUGGAGAUGAAAUCAUAGGGAGUUGAUCCUCUUGCACUGAGUCAGUUCCUGGGUGGGGGCCAAAAGAUCAGAAGAGCCAGUUUAUUGAUCUGGGUGGUGCCAGCUAAUCCAUCAAGUGCAGGAUCUGCAAAAUAUCUCAAGCACUGAUCUUAGGAGCAGUUUUGAGAGGGUCAGAAUCUUGUAGACUCCAGCUGCAUGACUCCUAAGCCAUUAUUUCCAAUCUUCUGGUUAAUCUGUUAGUCCUACAAAGGCAAUCUAGUCCCCAGGCAAGAAGGAGGUUUGUUUUGGUUAAUGGCUAUUAUUGUCUUUGUUUUAAACUAUAAGUUAUAAAUUAAGUUCCUGUGAAAGUUAGUUCAGCUGGCUCCCAGGAAUGAAUGAGAACAGCAUGGAGAUUAGAAGCAAGAUAGAGAUGGUUAGGUCAGAUCUCUUCUACUGUCUCAGUUAUAAUUUUGCAAUGGUAGUUUCAUUUCUAAUGUCAACUUUGUCAUUUCUCAUUAUAUUUGUUUGGAUCUUUUCUCUCUUUUUUUUUUCUUGGUUAAUGUAACCAGCAAUCUAUCAACCUUGUUUAUUACUUCAAAGAACCAACUUUUCAUUUUGUUGAUCCUUUGUAUGUUUUUCUUGGUCUCAGUUCCAUUUAGUUUUUUUUUUUCUUGUGCUAACUUUAAGUUUAGUUUGUUCUUGUUUUUCUAGUUCCUUUAGGCGCCAGGUUAGAUUGUUAAUUUGAUCUUUCUAUCUUUUUAAUGUAGGCAUUUAGCACUAAAAACAUUCUUCUCAACACUGCUUUAGCUGCAUCCCAGAGGCUUUCGUAUGUUGUGUCUCUGUUUUGUUUUGAAAUAUGUUGUGAUUUCUGCCUUAAUUUUGUUGUUUAUCCAAAGGUCAUUCAGCAGCAAGUUGUUUGGUUUCCAGGUAUUUGUGUGGUUUAAAGUGUUCCUCUUGGUAUUAAUUUCUAAUUUUAUUCCACUGUGAUCCAAUAAGAGGCUUGAUAUGAUUUUUAUUUUUAUUUAUUUUUUUAUUGAGGUUUGCUUUAUGACUGAGCAUGUGGUCAAUCUUAGAGAAUGUUUCAAGGGCAGAUGAGAAGAAGAAAUACUCUGUGGUUGUUGAGUGGACUAUUCUGUAGAUAUCUUUUAGGUGUGUUUGGUCCAGAGUCCAAUUUAAGUCCAGAAUCUCUUUGUAAUUUUUCUGCUUCAUACUGUCUAAUGCUCUAAGUGAGGUGUUAAAGACCCCCACUAUUACUGUAUGGCUGUCUGUUUCUUUCCUUAGAUCUAGUAGUAUUUAUUUUAUAAAUCGAGUGCUCUGAUGUUGGGUGCAUAUAUAUUUAGGAUGGUUAGAUUUUCUUGUUAACGUGAACACCUUAUCAUUAUAUAACACCCAUCUUUGUCUUUUUUUUUUUUCUUUCACUGUUGUUGGUUUAAAGUCUCUUUCAUCUGACACAAAGAUUGUAAACUCUGGGCUUUUUUGUUUACCAUUUGCUUAAAUAUCUUUAGACUUCCCUCUACUUUGAGCCUAUGGGUAGCAUUAUAUGGAAGAUGUUACUCUUCAAGGCAGCAGAUAGGUUCUUGUUGUUGUCGUCGUUGUUGUUUUCAUUCGAUUUGCCACUCUUUCUUUUGAGUAGAGCAUUUAUACUGUUCGUGUUCAUGGUUAAUAUUGAUAUGCAUGGUUUUGUUCCUGUCUUAUUGCUAUUAGUUAGUUGCUUUGUAGUCUUCAUUGUGUGAUGACUUUAUAGGGUCUGAGGCUUCGUAUUUAUGUGUGCUUUUAUAAUAGCAAGUAUUGUUCUUUUGUUUCCAUGUUUAAAACUUCCUUAAGCAUUCCUUGUAGGGCCAAUUUUGAUGUGAUUAAUUCCCUUGGUGUUUGUUUUUCUGGGAAAGACUUUAUUUCACUUUCAUUAUGAAGCUUCAUUUGCCAGGAAUAUAAAAUUUGUAUGUAUUAGUCUGUUCUCAUGUCUAAUAAAGACAUAUCUGAGACUGGGUAAUUUAAAAAGGAAAGACAUUUAAUAGACUCACAGUUCUGCAGGGAGGAGAAGGCCUCAGGCAACUUACAAUAAUGGGUAGAAGGGGAAGCAUACAAGUCGUUCUUCACAUGGUGACAGCAAGGAGAAGUGCCAAGCAAAAGGGGGAAAAGCUCCUUGUAAAACUACCAGAACUUGUGAGAACUCACUAUCACAAGAACAGCAGAAUGGGAGUAAUUGUCCCCAUGAUUCAAUUACCUCACAGUGGGUUCUUCCCACGAUAUGUGGGGAUUAUGGGAACUACAAUUCAAGAUGAGAUUUGGGUGGGAACACAGCCAAGCCUUAUAAUUCUUCCCCUGGCACCAAUUCUCAUAUCCUCCCAACAGUCCCCCAAAGUUUUAACUCAUUCCAGCAUUAACACAAAACUCCAAAGUCUCAUCUGAGACAAAGCAAAUCCCUUUCACCUAUGAGCCUGUAAAAUCAAAAGCAAGUUAGUUACUUCCCAUAUACAGUGAUGGUACAGGCAUUGGGUAAAUACACUUAUUCCAAAUGGGAGAAAUUGACUCAAAUGAAGGGGAUACAGGCCCCAUGCAAGUCCAAAAUAUAGCAGGGCAGUCAAAUAUUAAAGCUCCAAAAUGAUCUCCUUUGACUCCAUGUCUCACAUCCAGAUCAUGCUGAUGCAGGAGGUGGGAUCCCACAGCCUUGAGCAGCUCUGCCCCUGUGGCUUUGCAAGGUACAGCCCCCUCCUGGCUUUUUUCAUGGGGUGGCAUUGAGUGUCUACAGCUUUUACAAGUACACAGUGCAAGUUGUCAGUGGAUCUACCAUUCUGGGGUCUGAAGGAUGGCAGCCCUCUUCUCAUAGCUCCACUAGGCAGUUCCUCAGUGGGGACUCUAUGUGGGGCUCCAAUCCCCUAUUUCUUUUGUGCACUGCCCUCGCAGAUGUUCUCCAUGAGGGCUCCACCUCUGUAGCAAGCUUUUUCCUGGAUAUCCAGGCAUUUCCAUACAUUCUUUGAAAUCUAGCUGGAGGUUCCCCAACCUUAAUUCUUGACUUCUGUGCACCUGUAGGCCCACCACCACAUGGAAGCCUCCAAGGCUUGGGGCUUGCCCCCUCUGAAGCAAUGGCCUGAGUUGCACUUUGGCCCUAUUUAGCCCCAGCUGGAGCAGCUGGGACACAGGACAGCAAGUCUCAAGGCUGCACACAGCAGGGUGGCCCUGGACCUGGUCCAGGAAACCAUUUUUCCCUCCUAGGCCUCUGGGCCUGUGAUAGGAGGGGUUGCUGUGAAAGUCUCUGACAUAUCCUGGAGACAUUUUCCCCAAUAUCUUGGUGGUUAACAUUUGGCUUCUUGUUACUUAUGCAAAUGUUUGCAGCCAGCUUGAAUUUCUUCCCAGAAAAUGGGGUUUUCUUUUCUAUUGCAUCAUCAGGCUGCAAAUUUUCCAAACUUUUAUGCUCUUUUCCCUGUCUAAUGCUUUGCUGCUUAGAAAUUUCUUCUCCCAGAUACUCAUCUCUCUCAAGUUCAAAAUUCCACAGAUCUCUGGACCAGGGGCAAAAUGCCUCCAGUUUCUUUGCAUAGCAAGAGUGACCUUUACUCCAGUUCCCAAUAAGUUCCUCAUCUCCAUUUGAGACCACCUCAGCCUGGACCUUAUUGUCCAUAUCACUAUUAGCAUUUUGGUCAAAGCCAUUCAACAAAUAUCUAGGAAGUUCCAAAUUUUCCCACAUUUUCCUAUCUUCUUCUGAGUCUUCUAAACUGUUCCAAUCUCUGCCUGUUACCCAGUUUCAAAGUUGCGUCCACAUUUUCAGGUAUCUUUACAGCAGCACCCCAUUCCAGGUACCAACUUACCGUAUUAGUUCAUUCUCACUCUGCUAAUAAAGACAUACCUGAGACUGGGUAAUGUAUAAAGGAAAGAGGUUUAAUUGACUCACAAUUCUGCAGGGCUGGGAAGGCCUCAGGAAACUUAAAAUCAUGGUAGAAGGGGAAGCAAACAUGUACUUCUUCACGUGGCAGCAGCAAGGAGAAGUGCCGAGCAAAACAGGGAAAAGCCCCUUACAGAACCAUCACAUCUUGAGAGAAUUCACUUACUACCAUGAGAACAGCAGCACUGGUGUAACCACCCCCAUGAUUCCAUUACCUGCCACCAGGUCCCUCCCAUGACACAUGGGGAUUAUGAGAACUACAAUUCAAGAUGAGAUUUUGGUGGGGACACAGUCAAAGCAUAUCAUCUUGGUUGGCUUUUUUUUUAAAGAAGGCUAAAAAUAGGCCCCCAAUUUUUUCUGGCUUGUAAGGUUUGUUCUGAGAAGUACACUGUAAGUCUGAUGAGAAUUCCUUUAUAUGUAAUUUGGCCCUUUUCUCUAGCUAACUUUAAAUUUUUUGUCUUUUGCUUGGACCUUGGAUAGUGUGAUGACUAUAUGCCUUGGGGAUUGUUGUAUAACACAGUAUCUCAUAGGCAUUAUCUGGAUUUCUUCUAUCUGAAUAUUGACUCUCUAGCAAGAUUAGGGAAGUUUUCCUGAAUUAUUUCCUUAGAUAUAUUUUCCAAGUUGCUUACUUUUUAUCCUACUCUCUCAGAAAUGACAAAAAGUCAUAGGUUUUGUCACUUUACAUAAUCCUAUAUUUCUCGAAGGCUUUGUUUAUUCUUUUAAUUUUUUUUCUUUAUUUUUGUCUGACUGAGUUAAUUUGAAAGAUUAGUCCUCAAGUUCUGAAAUUCUUUAUUCUGCUUGGUCUAGUCUAGAGUUAAAGCUUUCAACUGAAUUUUGAAACUGCUCUAGUGAAUUUUUCAGUUCCAGAAGUUCUUUUGGUUGAUUUUUCUUAAUAUAGCUAUGCCAUCUUUCAUAACCUGAAUUGUUUUCCUGCUUUCUUUGUGUUAGAUUCCAACUUUCUCUUGGAUCUAAUUGAGUUUCUUUGCCAUUCAUAUUUGAAUUCUUUAUCUAUCACUUCAGAUAUUUCAAUUGGGUUAGGAUCUGUUAUUGCUACAGAGCUAGUGUGAUCCUUUGGUGGUGUCACAACACUCUGCCUUUUUGUACUGCCAGCGUUCUUUUGCUGAUUCCUUUUCAUCUCAGAGAGCUGUUACUUCUUUUUUUAAAUUUGAUAUUGUUUGGAUUAUUUUUAAAAAUUCUUUUUUUCUUGAGUGUAUAAAUGUGUUUUAUGUUGUGUAUGGUUUUUUGGCUUAAUUUCUAUGCAUUUUCAGUGGGUCAAGGCUCUGUAUGGGUUCCUUGGUUGCAGGUAGCUUCUGUGCAGUGGCUUUCUCAUAUGCUGUUUGUUAUAAUGGUGUUUUGGAUAUAAGGGCCAACCCUGUGAGGCUAAGGGUGUGGAAGUCUCAGGAGGCUUAUCUCAUGGACUAUCACUAAGCCCUCUGGUAGCAGGAUUUUUGUUUGGUGGUGCAAUGUAGGCUGCAGUCCAGUAUAUGGUGCUUUAAGAGUGAGAGCUUGCAGGUAGACUGGUGCUGAGUGUACUUGCCCACCCUGAUGGGGGUUGUGGGAAGAGAUUUUAAUGGGGGGGCGUACACUGAGGUCUUGGGAUAAGGGAUAGGGUAGGGUACAACAGCUCCUCAUCCUGAGCUGGCAGAAACAUAAUCCACUUCUCUAUCACACCUCUCUCAUUGGGCUCAUGACCUUCUAUUUAUAAAGGCUUUUCCUUUUGUUCAUUCACCUGCACCCUGCCUGAGUGUAGCUGCUGCAGGCCAUGGUUACCCGUGUCAGCUACCAUUAAAAUGGGGCUUGGGACAGAGCCCAACUCCAAAUGGGGCUUGGGCAGGCAACUCCAUGGUAUGUCCUCCAUUGCCAAGGUGCUACCACUCUGUGUAAGGAGGGUGAGAAGGGCCCCACCCUUCUCGAAAGUCCAAGUGUGCACAGGCUCACAUUCAGAGGGAUGGAGCCACCAUGAAAAGUAUGAAAAGCACUUUCUUUGAUUACGUAGCAGCCCCUGGUAGGAAGAACUGUGGCUACAUCGGGAACAUUCCACAAUAGUGUUUUAGGGUAGGGGGAGAAGACACCCUCUCCUUUGUCCCCAGGCAUCAGUGCUAACUUUCAAUGGUCAGCCCUCCUCCUGUGUUUCCUUAUCCCAAGGGGAUCUUUGGCAGGCUGUGUUUCCCUUCCCUUAAAGGUGGUCCAUACCAAGUGGUAGAUCUCCUGAGGAAAGUGAUUUAAAAAAUAGUGGAAUUUUGAGUGCGAUCUAGGAAAUUUAUUGUGUAUUCAGUGUAUAUGUGCCCUGACAAUGAAUAGAGAAAGAACUUUUUGUAUAACUAUUUUAUAGGUUAAGAAACCAAGAUUCAGUGAGACCAAGUUUUUUGGUCAUCUUCUCAUAUGACAGAGCUGGGAAGAAUCCCCUGAGUUUCCUAGUUCAUGUUAUUUGUACUUUGACUGGUCUUCAUUAUCUUUUCCAAGUUCUUUCCCAAAAAAUAUUUAUCACCUGAUGAAAAAUGCAAAGCAUUUAGCAACACAAUCAGGGUAACAUAUAUGAAAACGUUAUGCUUUUCAGAAUUUUCUCACUUUGAACACUUAAACCUGAUUAUUUAGGAAAGUCCACAAAAGCCUCCCAAACUCAAUAUAGCUUCCUUAGCUUCUUAGUAUGAUUAUAUUCAAUAGUAUUAUAUUUCCUCUAAGAUGGUACAGACUGGUAAUAAGGACAGAUUUUACAGAAAAUUAGCUCUUCUAAUCCUGAGACCUAAGUUAUGGACAAAAAAGAAGAUAAGUGGAAACUGAGUUGCUUUUAGUACAUUCACUUGAUUUUAUUAAAUUUUUAUUAAUCACUAAUUCAUUUACUCAAUAGAUGUUUUUGAAAUACCUACCUUUAAGUAUAUGUGAAACCAGGGAUAAAAGCUACCAUUUAUUGAAUGACUAUUGUGUGCUAAUAUUGGGUGAGAUAUUCUACAUACAUAUUUACGCUGUUAAUCAAGUUAGGCCUCCAGAGUCUGACCAUAAACAAUAAUCCUGUUAAUUAAGACAGCAUGAGUGAAAAUGUCCAUGUCCAUUCCCAUGUUCAUCACAAUCUUUGAGUAUUUGCUUCCAUUCUGCACUCCCUCUAACUGGUAGAAAUAAGGUGCUCAUGAAUUUUUCCAGGUGAGUUUGCGUACAAACAUUGGUAAAACAAGGUUCCAAUCAGAUUUUUCUUUUUGCCUCAGAAUUAAUGUCGGGACACUGAUGGAGUCUGCUGAUAGUAUUAAAGUUCUUAAAAAGUAUAAGAAAUUCUUGCUUAAGGAUUGGUAUCAAUCUUCCUAAUAAUUUAAUUGCUUUUUUUAACUUAUACUAGUUUGAGUACAUUUUUGUUCUUUUAAAACAAGUGUUUCCUAAGAUAAUAUAUAAACAGAGAAGUAGGCCCAUGUGGGAGGGAAUUCAUCAAGUAGAUGAACAUCUUUGUAGUAACAAUGAGACCAGAGAAAGACAUCUACAAAUGUGAUAUUUUAAAAAUAAUGUUAACAAUUAAUGUUUAUAUAAAGCUUUAAAUUUGCAAUGCAUAUUUACAUAAAUAAUCUUACUUGAUCUUCUCAAUUACCUAGUGAAAUAAUCAUCCAAUUUCAUAUGUGAAAAUCAUCCACAAUAAGUUAUUUGCCAAAAGUUACAACUAAUAAGUGGUUGGUCCAGGGUUAUAUGCCAGAUUCUCUCAUUAUAAACCUUUAGUUCUUUCCAUAGUAUCGAGGCUUCUAUGUUAUCACUUGUUCUUUAUAAAAUGCUUGACUAAAUGGAGGUUCCUACAUCUUAUGAUCUUAUGAUCAUCAGUUCCUAAAGGACAGAAUUUCAACAAAUUGAGAUAGUCACAUUAUGUCAAUUAUCUGCCACUCUAAAAAUAAUAUCUACACUGCAGUUCUUAAAAGAAUAAUAGGAAAAAAUAGACUUAAGAAACACGUAUGUUAAGAGGAAUAUCAGAAAAAGGGAUACAGGAAGUAAUUAUUCCAAUUACCAAGUAUUUGUUCAUGUAUAGAAUGAUUCACUGCCGGCUCCAUUAAAUAAUAUUCAUUAGAUGAACUUUAAUUUAUACAAAUUAAAUUUCCGUAAAACGUCAUAGAGAUAUAGGUCAUUACAGAGUUAAAAAAAAUGCAAAGUCAUCUAAUCUAACUAAAACUAUUUCGUAAAGUGGAACAAAUGUGAUUUUAUUAUCCAACUAUUUGCUGUUUGUUAUCUUCCAAGGAAACUGUGAUUUAAUUGAUUUCUAUAAAUGCUUAUUGGGUAUGCAGGGCAUGUACCUAGAAACUGGAAGCAUAUCAUUACAAUAACCCAUGGGCCCCUGAUUUCCAGUGAAAACAAUACACAAAUGCUUGUAUGACAAGGUGGAUUUUGGCAAGCACUACACUAACAGUAUAACAUGUAAUAGAGGAACUGGGAAAGAAAAUAUUUAAUUCAAACUUAAGUGCUCUGGAAACCCUCCAAUGAGGAAAUAUAAGGGAACAUGAAGUAUUAAAGUCUUAAAGGGUGAUCAACACCCAUAUUUCAAUUUAAAGAGAUUUUUAUUUCUAUUUAACUGUUUUUAAGAUCCUGAUUGGUUAAGCUCAAUUUUGUAAAUCCAAGCUCUCAGUGAUAAUUAUAUUUAACUCUCUAUGUAUUGACUGUUAAUGGAGCAUGCAUGUAAAUUAUGACCAAUAUGUUAGGAUCUACAAGACAAUAAACUGCAUCCAUCUUUUCCAAUAAACAAAUAGGUAAAUAUAAAGACAAGUCCAAACUAACAUCUAUACAAUUGAUAUAGGCCAGUUUAGAAGGUGAUGGAUUAACGUGGGAUCCAAAUGCACUACUUUUAUGUUAUGCAAGCCCCAGAAUAAGAAGAUUGACUCAUCAGUCACAGCAGCAUUGGUCUUCUACCAACCUUUACCUCCCUUCCUGUGAGCAGAGCAGGGAGAAGAUGGAAAUGGUGGCGAAGGAGGUUGGAGCUCAGCUAAGCAAAGGAGGUAACCCUUCACGAGUUUACUUUGCAAACAACUCACUUCCACUCCCCCGGGGAAAGGAAAAUAAAGAACAGAGAGGUGCAAGGAAUGUGAGAAUGUGCCUCUUCAUGGAAACCAGGAGUGAGGAAAUUAUAUUCCAUUGCUAAUAUCCCAUGAGAUGAUUCUGAUUAUUAGGGAAGAUAUAUAUCUUUUGGGAUUAUUUGCAGUCUUUUUCCUAUAAAUUGCCAAGCUUAUACUUUUUUAAGAAUGGUCAAUUUUUUUUAGAAAGGUGUUUAAUUAUCUUUUUUUAUAUUUGUAAGAUCUAAAUAAAUAGUAUGACAGUAGAUAUAAGAAUAAGUGACAUAGUCAGUAACUGUUGUCUCACAUAUAUAACCUCUAAAUUUCUUUUUUUUUUUUUCACUUUGUAUAAUCCACCUCUCCUCUUUGGUGGGGAUUGGCCUGAGUUUCAGGAGUGAGGUAUCUUUUACUCAGUGGUAGAUAUAACUGAAACAAAAAAAGGUAAAAAGAAGAGGAAGAAAACCGAUGAAAUAGGGAAAAGUAAUGAAAGAAAAAAAUUGACUUGGAGGAAUUCUAGAAACACAUUUUGACUUUUACCUUCUAAACCAGUGGAUGGUUGAGCAGAUAUGCAGGCAUCUAAAGAAGCCAGAGGAGUGGUAAUUAUUCCUGGAUUCUCUGCAGACAAUUCAGUCCAUGAAUAUCAAUAACUUUUUUAAAAACUUUAGCUGAUAUGGCUUGGCUGUGUCUCCACCCAAAAUCUCCUCUUGAAUUUUAAUUCCCAUAACCCCCACAUGUCAAGGGCAGGAUGAGGUGGAAGUAAUCAGAUCAUGGGGGUGGUUUCCCCCAUGCUGUUCUCAUGAUAGUGAGUAAGUCUCAUGGGAUCUGAUGGUUUUGUAAGCAUCUGGCAUUUCCCCUACUUGCACUCACUCCAUCCUGCCACCCUGUGAAGAGGUGCCUGUUUCUCUUUUGCCUUCUGUCAUGAUUGUAAGUUUGUGGAGGCCUCCCCAGCAAUGCAGAACCGUGAGUCAAUUAAACCUCUUUCAUUUAUAAAUUACCCAAUCUUGGGUAUUUCUUCAUAGCAGUGUGAGAACGAACUAAUACAUGGGCAUUUAUAUAUUUCUGUACUAUUCAUCUAUAUUGACCACUACUUUUGGUUCUUUUAGACAAUACUGUUUCUAUGGAGGCAUGCAUCCUCACCACCUGUAUGUGAAACUGCACUUUAAGAAUUGUCUGUUUUGCUCUUUGAAUUAUCCUUAUUACAGUCUAAUAUUUGGGAGCAGAUAAGUCAUGACCAAGAUGGGCUUAUAAUCUAAAGCUUGCAUGUCUGUGAGUUUUAUUCAUCAAGUAGAACAUUCUCUGUAUUGCAGAGAAUUAUGGUAAGGCAGAAAGUGGAGGAAACAAUAUAUUUUAGAACAUUUAAUUGUUUAACAUGAUUACCUAAGUAUAGACACUGAAACCCCUAAGUGCAUUUUUGCUUCAUUUUAGCUUUGAUUUGUAACUUUCUUAAAACUAAACCUUGCUCACUUGUCAGACCACAGAUAUACUUUACUUCAGAGUGAAGGCUCAAAACCUUCAUGUAUUCCCUUUUAUAUAGAAGCAAAUGUGUUCACUUUUAUAUGGAAGUCACUUCCAAUAAGGAAAAUACACAUCAUAGUUAUUUUUCACCAGAGGAAAUGUUUCUGGAAAUAAGAACAGUGAUUUUCACAGUGGUGCAUUAUGAUCAUCCUCUGGUUUUCCAAGUCGAGGUUCUGUUUUAAGUGAGGAUUUUCAUAUUUCAUUAGUUAUUAUCACUAUUUCUAACUUACCAAUAUGGGAAGAGUUCUGGCAGGAAAAAUUACCUUGCUGGCCUUGAAAAUUUUGAAGUUGCAGUUAGUGGAGGAUAAGGACCAGUUGUGCCACCUGGAAAAUGUUUAAAAUUCCUUCCUAGUGAGAUGAAUAUUAUUUACCUACAAUCAUCCUUUCCAGGGUUCCCAAUCAACUCACACUAUUUUUAGAUCCAUUCAAAUUGGCUAAUAAUGAGGAUUUACAUGAAUUGUGCCUGGUAAUGCCGUUGUCCAAGUGGCCUUUCAGUUCUGGAAUUAUCAUCUUAGGAUUCUACAAUAGCUGUGUAAAUGAAGGGUAGAAAUGCACCCCGCACUGCAUAAAAUUGUUGAAAAGACAUGUCUAAUCUUAAAACCAGAUCUUGAUUAGUAAUGCUUUAUUUGAGGAGGAAAGUGAGAAGGGAUUAGGAUGUGUCAUGAAUGGAACCCCUACACAGUGCUUUCUGAAAAUCUCAGGGUUCAGAAGAUAAUAUUUUCAUAGAGGUAAAAAAUAGGCUACCAACAAUAAAUUAAGGAAAGUGGCUCAGAUUUGAUGGAAUUUUGUUAGUAAUUCUAGAACUCAAUGUAAGAUAAAUAUUAUUAAAGCCAAUUAAGAGGAUUGCUAAGUUACACUGCAAACAAAAGCACUAAAAUAGUAUGGAGUACAUAGAGUCUUGAUAAGGAAUAACAAAAAUCACAUGGGACAACUCAAUGUGUCUACAAGAAUGAGGCAUUUCCUAAGAGGACACUUUGCUCUUUUAAUGAGUAAAGUAUUCUUAUGAUUGGACCAUCUCCCAGGGUUUUCAGAGAGCCUGUGAUCAGCCUGCUAAUCCCUUCUCUAUGAACUCUGAGCACUGCUAAAGACCAGAAGAGAUACCAAAUGUUUGGCAAAGAGAGUUUUAAUUUCUCAGGGGUGCAGGGAGUAAAUUCCAUAGACUUGUCAGCUUGAACUUGACCUUGGGCAUCAUACUGGAAUAGAUUACUAAAGGGAUGAUUUGUGAUCUUCUACAAAAGGAAUAUUUGAAGGGUUGCUAUGCAGCCUUCCUAAGAACCACUAAAAGUGGGAGGGGCUACUCCAGAAGGCAUUAACUUUUCAUGAUUAGACACAUUCCUGCUAAGGCUAAAUAAUCAUAUGGCAGUGAUGUGCUCAGAGUGACCAUUAAGAUUGCCACAAUAAAAACAGGUUCCAUGAUUCUCUGUAUCCAGUCAGGAGAAAGAAGUCACACCAUUUAUUUAAACAGAGAAUUUAAUUUUAAAAAUUGUUAACUAGGUAUAUUUGUUUUCUGGGGCUGGCAUAACAUAGUUUGAUAAACUAGGUGCCUCAAACAACAGAAAUCAAUUGGUUAUAAAUAAAUUUCUUUUUGAAAAAAUAUUUGUUAAAAAAAUAAGUAAAGCAAAAUCUAUUCACAAUAAAUCAAUAAUAGUUCUGGAAGCUAGAAGUUUGAGAUCAAGGAGUAUUUCUUGCAGUAUUUCAGCAGUAUUUCUUCCUUCUGAGGGUUGGGAGGGAGAAUCUGCUUCAUGCAUCUUUCCUAGCUUUUGGUGGUUUGAUGCAGUCUUUGGCACUCCUUGGCUUGUAGUAUGUCACCCUGAUCUCUGCCUUCAUUCUUCACAUGGCAUUCCCCCUGUGUGCAUGUCUGUCCCAGUUUCUCCUUUUUAUAAGUACACAAUCUUAUUGGAUUAGAGUCCACCUAAUUAUCUCAUCUGCAAAGACCCUAUUCCAAAUAAGGUCACAUUUACAGGUACUGAGGAGUUAGAACAUGGAGAUUUUGUGGGGCUGACAUGGUUUAGGCUCAGUGUCUCCACCCAAAUCUCAUCUUGAACUGUAAUCCCCACAUGUCAAGGGAGGGACCUAGUGGAGGGGAUUAGAUCAUGGGGGCAGUUUUCCUCAUGCUGUUCUCAUGAUAAUGAGUGAGUUCCCGUGAGAUCUGAUGGUUUUAUAAGUGGAGGUUUCCCCUGCUUGCUCUCUUUUUCUUACUGCCUUGUGAAGAAGAUAUUUGCUUCUCUUUUGUCUUCCGCCAUGACUGUAAGUUUCCUGAGGCCUCCCCAGUCAUGUAGAACCGUGAGUCAACAACUAUGAGUAAACCUCUUUCCUUUAUAAAUUACCCAGUCUCAGGUAUUUACAGUAGUGUGAAAGCAGACUAAUACAGGUGUCCACAAUUCAACCCAUAAUUUUAGGUAACCUAAAAAGCAAAAUGUUUUCACAGAGGUAGUAACUGUAGAAAGAGCUACCACCUCCAGCGCUGCAGGAGCAAAGGGAUGUGGCUAAAAUGAUCAAAUCAUAGAAACUUGGAAAAACGGCUUCAAGGAGCUGAAACCCAGACACCUGGGACAGGGGCAUUUAUGCUCAGGUGGUCCUAGUGUCUCUGACGGAGGGCUCAACGAGGCUACUUCUGCAAGCGUGCAAAAAACUGCAAACAUUGAGCAAACUACAAACGGUGCCCAGGUGCUGCUACAAGAAGCAACUGCCCCUGCUAGAGUGACAUCUUAUAGGAGUAAUUAUCAUAGGAGCGGCAAACCCACAGAAUCUGCAAGUCCUUCAGCCUCCUUCAGCCUCUGGCACCCCCUAUUGGUAGAGCCUUGUAGAAGCAGCUGGUAAAGCAAAAAUUGGUUUCUGCAGUGCCAGCCCUAGCUAGCAUCACAAAAUAAAGUAGAAAAAAGUGUUUGGAGGACCACAGCCUUGGACAGCUUUCUCUGUUUUUCUCUGGGUCAUUUGCUGAUCUUGACUCAUUCAAAUUAGAGUAAAAAGUGUGCCAAUUACUAAUUUAUUCUUUCUCAGCUACAAACCCACAUUUUUUGACCCAAUAGGUGUCACACAAUUCCUAGAUUUGUGGAGUUACUGAUGUAUAAAUUAUUGCCUUUAUUUCUUUAUCUAUAAAAUGGGUAUGCAAAUAAUAAGUACCUCACAGAGUUGUUGUGAGGACACAUGAAAAGUACUUAGAACAGUAGGUCACAUGGACUAAGUUGUUAGUUAUAUUAGUUAUUAUUUUAUUACUAUUUUGUUUUAUUGGAUAAUUAAAAGUUCAAGAAUUAACAACAUGUUUCAGGGCCUAUCUAUUCCUAUUCAGGAAAUUAAUGAAACUUAGGAAAAAAUUCAGGUGUUUGCUCAGUGCCAAUAUAACACCUACAAAUAAAUAUGAAUUAUUCUACGUCUUCAUUAACUAAAAUCAAGUAUCUCAACCUCCUGUUAACACUUAACAUUCUAUAGCUGAUUAUUAUUUCUAGAACCUCCUAAAUACUUUCAGAAAAGAGAGCUUCUGCUUAAGCGACAUGACUACAAAAGCCAGGAUAGCGAAUAUCUGCAUGACUGUCUACUACUGAUUGGUGGUGGCUGCCUGGAAAGCUGAGUUGAGGAGUCUGAGGCUCCCUGUGGGUCCAGAAGCAAAAAGUUGAGGAUCAUUUAGCAAUCUCAGCAUCAGGCAUGGGAGAGUGCAUUUGUGGCACUCCUGUCUUCCUCUUGAUUUUAUCAACAUUAGAAGAAAGAGUACGGUUUCCAGGGUCAAAACAGAAUUAAAUGUCUGGUUUCUAUACAAAGCUGAGAUUGGAAGUAAUAAUACCUCAAAUGGUUAUUGUGAGGAUUAAAUUAAAGAAAUGAAACAUUCUUACUGUCUCUGCGGAAGCCAGUAAAUGUUAAUUGUUCCUUUUCCUCUAAAUUAGUUUCACUACAGUGUAUAAGCCUAUAAUUGUGUUCAUCUUUGUCAUAUUUCAUAAUGUUGUCAUGGUUUGAUCAAUUAUAUAAAAGUUAACCAUUGUGAAACAGAUUUCUUUAGGAAAGGUAAACACAUUCCAAAUGCAUUCAUGCUAUAGCAGAAAAUCUAUAGUCAUGUUAUUUAUCCCCACCUAAAUGUAAAUGAACCUAUUUUUGGUGAAUGAAUGAAUAUGGAUGACGUUUGACUUUUCCACACAUAUAAUUACUUCAGCAUCUACAGAUAACACAGAUUAAAUGCAAUUUAUUUGAUUUAUCCAUGUUUUGUUGAAUAGGGAAAAAUUUUCUUUUACCUUUAAUCAAUGUGAAAAGUAAUGAAAUGCAAUUGUUUUUCAUUGCCUGCAAAACAAAAGAAACAAUUUCAUGGAUAAAAAUAAGUAGCUCUCAUGCACUGAGAUUUUAUUAGACUAGGCCAUUUUAUUCUUUUGUGAAAAGGUUACUACCUAUGUUUAAAUUUCACCAUUAGAUAAAUUUCAUGAAUUUCAUGUAGUUCUGUAAAGUAGCUGUUCCAGAGAGUGCAUUUUCCUCCCCUGGACUUUCUAAUGUAUUUUUUGAAAGGCCUGCCUCACAGAAAUUAAACUCAAUUUAUACAUUCAAAAAAUCUGGUGAAUAUAUAAAUAUGCUUUGAACAUGUAUUCUUAGAUCAUUUUUCUCUACUUCAUUGUUUAAAUAGGCAGCACCACCUGGUGGCUAAAUAAAACAACUGAAAUUUUUUACAUCCUGAAUAUGGAAAAAUGUAGAUUCAGCAGAGGAAAAAUAUUUAAUUAUUUUUUACAUUAAAUUUGGGUUGCUCAUCAUAAGUUUCUUCUUUAAAUAACGUCUAGUUUUUAAAAUGCAUACAUCUAAACCAUGAAGUUUUAUCCAUUGCUAAUUAUACUUAUUUUCUAUACUAGCUGUUAAUAUAAUUGAAAAAAUCACUUGUAUAAUUUUAAUAAUGUGAUAUUUAAAGUAAAGUUUAAACAACUUUUGAGAAAAUCAUCCUCAGGAGGCACUUUAAUUCACUCAUUAAAAUUAUCUUCUUGCAGUUUUCUUUGAAAGUAGUCUCAUUUCUAACAAACCACAGUCACAGGAACUUACUAUAAAACUUUACUCAUAAAACACCAACAGAAUUAAUAAGAACUAUUCAGAAAAAGACAUGUAAUUGUUACACUGUAAUUAUAGUUUUAGACCCAAUAUUGAGCUUCAGAAGAGGCAUUUAAUUCAAAAUGUAAUGCUACUGCCCUCUUGUGGUUUAAAAUGCAUAUUUCCCUCUGGAAAUAAAGAUACAGUAUCCAAAUAAAUAAUAAUUUUGAUAUUUAAUGAGAAAACGGAGUAUGAACUACUUUCACAUUUGUCCACAGACAUACAGUAAAUAAUCCAUUAACUACCAUAGAUGAAGAUUAGAAUGUCUAGUAAUUUUAGUAUCAUGAUUAAUAGAAAGUUAGUGAUUAACUUAUUUUACCCUCGUUUGGUGAGUGCAAUUAACCACAAAAAUCCCUUCUCACCUAACUUUUAGCAUCUUUCACCAGUUCCAUAAUAUAGAUUUUGCAAAUUCUAUAGGAAACUAACACCCUCCAAUUAAUACUGGUAUAAUUAAUUUACUUUCCUUAUGUUAGGUGAAGAAUAAACGGCUUCAAACCACUUAAAAACAAACAAAAAAAAAUCCUUCCUCAUUUUGCUUCUGUUUUCACCUGGGAUGAGUUCAGAAGCCUUUUCCAAGGUCCAGAGCAUGCAUUUACCUUGCUGAAACACUUUUUGGCCCCUUGCAAUUGUGGCACUGAAUGGAAAACAAGCUUUAGACACACAUUCCAAAUGCAGCAGCCAAGCUUUUCCUUGUCACGCUGGCUCUGCUGCUAGAAAAGAAUGAUGCCUUUCAGAUUUCUCCAUAUGAACAGAACUAAUUCUCCAAGAGCGUGCUCUGGCUCUGCGUUUACAUCUCUCACCUUGGAUUGGGAGUGUUAUCAUGGAUUAAAGGACAACAAGGAGGAAACAAAGAGGGAUGAUUCUGCCUUUGCUAAAACUCCAGGCACUGUAGGGCAAGAGUUUAUUUUCCAACUGUCUGAAAUUUCCUUUGGCUACUCCCUUCUCUGCGAAAGCUUGUGAUGCACUUCCAUUUAGAAAAUAGGAUUUUGUUAUUAUUGAGAAGAGGGAAAAACUAAAGCGAUCACUUAUAUUCUGCUUUCAUUUAUUUAGCUACAGAGAAAACAAGCAGAGUCAACAGCAAAAGGGGGUGGUUGGUGCAAGGUACCACUCUGGCACCUGGCCUGGCAUUCCUAUGCCUCCCAUGAUCUUGGUAUGCUGCUGUCCCCACCGGGGCCUUUUAACACAGGCCUUCACCCAAGUGGUUUUCUUUGAUGAGGUAGCAUUUCCUUUGUUUUUUAUUUUUUCCUGGGUACAUGUCUAGGAUUUAUCUAGCAUGCCAUUAACAGUCUUGUCUUCAGGAAGAAGCAAGAAAUGACAGCAAGGGACUAAGGGGUCAUGCAACUCAACAUGUCCAAGGUUGUUUUUCAAAGAUCUCCAUGCCAAUUCCUUUAGGUUUAACUUGAAAGCAGUAUCUGCAAGAGGAGAGAGAAGGGCUCACAUUACCUGGCUCAGAGUCUUAUCCGUACUUGGCAUGUCUUGGCCAUCCGCUGAAGAAGCUGUUCUUGGUCCUCUAUACUUUGCUACAUGAAGACACUCAUUUUGCUGCACAGUUGUCUUCUGUUCUGGCCUCCUCUUGACAAUGAGUGAUACAACAUGGUAAAAAUGUAGCAGCAAAAACUGAGCAGCUCACACCUUGAAUACAUUUCGAUUGCACAGCUACUUCCUGACCUGUAUGUAAUUCUGCCACAUGCCUGAGCUCUAGUGAGUCCUACACUUCCCAGAAUUCACUCGGGUCCCUUCUCAGAAGGGGCUCUUACAGACCUCAGGUGAGAUGAAGCAAGACCAGGUACUUUUCUGCCUCUCUUCCCCUGGGAGUCUUCAUUUACAGUGCCAAGAUUGCUCUUUCCUUACAAAGCUAGGUUGUUGCUGAUACUGAUUUUGAAAGUCAAUAAUACAUUGUUUAGGGAUAAGAAAUAGUCGGUGCAUAGGGUAGCAGGAGUUACCUAAGAAGGGAGAGACAAGAUUUCAGUGAAAGGGCUCACAGGGUAUUUCUAAGAUCCUGUUAAAAAUUUGUUUUGUAACUUCUCUGGGGGAACACAGAGUUUUACUUUAUAAUUACUUUUGUUUUUCUUUUUUUCUUUAAGACAGUGUCUUGCCCUGUCACCCAGGCUGGAGUACAGGGCUCACUGCAACCUUGAACUCCUGGGCUCAAGUGAUCCUCCUUCUUCAGCCACCCGAGUAGCUAGGCUCCUCCUUUCUCAGCCUCCCAAGUACCUAGGACUAUGAUAUGGUUUGGCUCUAGGUCCCCACCCAAAUCUCAUCUCAAAUUGUAAUUGUCGUGUGUUGAAGAAGAGGCCUGGUGAGAUAUGAUUCCAUUAUGGGGGAAAAUUUCGUCCUUGCUGUUCUCAUGAUAGAGUGAUAUCUCACAAGAUCUGAUCAUUUAAAUGUGUGUGGCACCUCCUGCUUCUCUCUGUCUGUCCUUCUUUGCCAUGGUAAGAUGUGCUUGCUUCCUUCUCACCUUCUGCCAUGAUUGUAUGUUUCCUAAGGCCUCUCAGCCAUGCUUCCUGUACAGCCUGUGGAACUGUGAGUCAAUUAAACCUCAUUCAUUGAUAAAUUACCCACUUUAUAGCAGUGUGAGAAUGAACUUAUAUAGAAAAUUGGUACUGGGAGAGUGGGGCAUUGCCAUAAAGACACCUGAAAAUAUGGAAGCAGGUUUAGAACUGGGUAACAGGUGGAGUUUGGAACAGUAGGGGGCUCAGAAGAAAAUAGGAAGAUGUGGGAAAGUUUGGAACUUCCUAGCAACUUAUUGAAUGGUUUUGACCAAAAUGCUGAUAGUGAUAUGAACAGUGAAGUCCAGGCUGAAGAGGUCUCAGAUGGAGAUGAGGAACUUAUCGGGAGCCGGAGUAAAUGUCGCUCUUGCUAUGCUUUAGCAAACAGACUGGCAGCAUUGUGCCCCUGACCUAGAGAUCUGUGGAACUUUGAACUUGAGAGAGAUGAUUUGGGGUAUCUGGUAGAAGAGGUUUCUAAUCAGCAAAGCAUUCAAAAAUUGAUCUGGUUGUUUCUAAAGUGUACAGUAAUAUGCAUGAAGAAAGAGAUGGUCUGAAGUUGGAACUUAUAUCUAGAAAAGGAAAACUCAUUUUCUGGGGAGAAAUUAAAGCUGGUUGCAGAAAUUGGCAUCAGUGAUGAGGAGCCAAAUGUUAAUAGCUGAGAAAAUGGGGAAAAAGUCUCCAGGGCAUAUCAGAGAUCUUCACCACAGCCUGUCCCAUCACAGACCUGGAAGCGUAGGAGAAACAAAUGGUUUCAUGGGCCAAGACCAGGACCGUGCCACUUUCUGCAGCCUCGAGACAUUCCCAGCCACUCCAGCUUCAGCCUUGGCUAAAAGCGGCCAAGAUAUAAAUUGGGCCAUUGCUUCAGAGGAUGCAAGUCCCAAGCCUUGGUAGCUUCCACUUGGUGUUGGGCCUGCAGAUGUGCAGAAAUUAAGAGUUGAGGCUUGGAAGCCUCCACCUAGAUAUCAGAGGAUGUAUGGAAAGGCCUGGAUAUCCAUGCAAAAGUCUGCUGCUGGGGCGGAGCCCUCAUGGAGAACCUCUACUAGGGCAGUGUGGAGGGGAUAUGUGGGGUUGGAGCCCCCACACAGCAUCCCUACUGGGGCACUAUGUUCUGAAAAGGCUGCAGACACUCAAUGCCAGCCUAUGAAAACAGCCGUGGUGGCUGUAUCCUGCAGAGCCACAGGAGCAAAGGUGCCCAAAUCCUUGUGAGCUCACCCCUUGCAUCAGCAUGCCCUGGAUGUGAGACAUAGAGUCAAAAGAGAUUAUUUUGGAGCUUUAACAUUUAAUGACUGCCUUGCUGGGUUUUGGACUUGCAUGGGGCCUGUACACCCUUUGUUUUGGCCAAUUUCUCCCUUUUGGAAUGGGAGCAUUUACCCAAUGCUGUACCCCCAUUGUACCUUGGAACUAACUAAAUUGUUUUUUAUUUUACAGGCUUAUAGGUGGAAAGGUCUUGCCUUGUUUCACAUGGGGCUUUGGACUAGAACUUUUGAGUUAAUACUGGAAUGAGUUAAGACUUUUGGAUCUGUUUAGAAGGCAUGAUUAGUUUUGAAAUGUGAGAAGGACAUGAGAUUUGGGAGGGGCUGGGGCAGAAUGAUAUGGUUUGGUUCUGUGUCCCCACCCAAAUCUCAUCUCAAAUUGUAAUCACCAUAUGUCUGAGGAGGGGCCUGGUGAGAGGUGAUUGGAUCAUGGGAGCAGAUUUCCUUCUUGCUAUUCUGGUGAUAGUGAGCUAAUUCUCAGGAGACCUGAUCAUUUAAAAGUGUGUGGAAACUCCCCCUUCUCUCUCUCUCUCUGUCUUGCUUUACCAUGGUAAGACAUGCUUGCUUUCCCUUUGCCUUCCACCAUUAUUGUAAGUUUCCUAAGGCCUCUCAGCCAUGCUUCCUGUACAGCCUGUGGAACUGUGAGUUAAUUAAGCCUCUUUCUUUUAUAAAUUACCCAGUCUCAGGUAAUUCUUUAUAGCAGUAUGACAAAGGACUAAUAAAGACUAUAAGCACACACCACCACACCCUGCUAAUUUUUAAAAAAGAUUUUUAUAGAGACAAGGUCUUGCCACAUUUCCCAGGUUGGUCUGGAACUCUCUCUCUCAGGCUCAAGUGAUCCUCUAGCCUCAGCUUCCCAAAGGGCUGGGAAUACAGGUAUAAACCACCAGGCCUGGUCUAUAAUUUCACUUUAAAGUUACAUAUAAGACUGGGUGUGCUGGCCAUGUCUAUAAUCCCCGCACUUUGGGAGGCCAAGGCAAGUGGAUCCCUUUAACCCAGGAGUUCCAUAGCAGCCUGGGCAACAUGGUUCAAACCCAGAUAUUCUACAAAGCAACUGCCCAGGAUUCUUUCAAAGUGUCAAGGUCGUGGAAAACAAGGAGAAAUUAAGGAAAGAUGAUCAUAGAUUGGAGGAGACUAGGGGCAUGUGAAUACCAAAUGCAAUGUGGGUUGGAACUUGGAACAGUAAAAGGACAUUAGUGAAAUUACUGGUGACAUCUUCCUUUUGCUCCAGUUGCAAGGGGGAGGCAUUGGCUAAAGCAAAUCAUAGUCUCUGUGGGUACACCUGGGAGGCAAUGAAACACAAUAGCUGAAUGCCCCCAUCCCCACAGUGAUAUUACCCUGUGAAACUGAGUAAAUGGUAAGAGCUAUAUCAUAAAUAGCUCUUACUAUUUUGAGAUACAUUCCAUCAAUACCUAGUUUAUUGAGAGUUUUUAGCAUGAAGGAGUGUUGAAUUUUAUUGAAGGCCUUUUUUGCAUCUAUUGACAUAAUCAUGUGGUUUUUGUCAUUGGUUCUGCUUAUGUGAUGGAUUACGUUUAUUGAUUUGCAUAUGUUGAACCAGCCUUGCAUCCCAGGGAUGAAGCCGACUUGAUCACAGUGGAUAAGCUUUUUGAUGUGUUGCUGGAUUCGGUUUGCCAGUGUUUUAUUGAGGAUUUUUGCAUUGAUGUUCAUCAGGCAUAUUGGCCUGAAAUUCUCUUUUUUUGGUUGUGUCUCUACCAGGUUUUGGUAUCAGGAUGAUGCUGGCCUCAUAAAUGAGUUAGGGAGAAGUCCCUCUUUUACUAUUGCUUGGAACAGUUUCAGAAGGAAUGGUACCAGCUCUUCUUUGUACCUCUGGUAGAAUUUGGCUGUCAAUCCAUCUUGUCCUGGGCUUUUUUUGGUUGAUAGGCUAUUAAUUACUGCCUCAAUUUUAGAACUUGUUAUUGGCCUAUUCAGGGAUUAGAAUUCUUCCUGGUUUAGUCUUGGGAGGGUGUAUGUGUCCAGGAAUUUAUCCAUUUCUUCUAGAUUUCCUAGUUUAUUUGUAUAGAGCUGUUUAUAGUAUUCUCUGAUGGUAGUUUGUAUUUCUUUGGGUUCAGUGGUGAUUUCCCCUUCAUUAGUUUUUAUUGUGUCUGUUUGAUUCUUCUCUCUUUUCAUCUUUAUUAGUCUGGCUAGCAGUCUAUCUAUUUUGUUAAUCUUUUUCAAAAAACCAGCUCCUGAAUUCAUUGUUAUUUUGAAGGGUUUUUCAUGUCUCUAUCUCCUUCAGUUUUGCUCUGACCUUAGUUAUUUCUUGUCUUCUGCUAGCUUUUGAAUUUGUUUGCUCUUGCUUCUCUAGUUCCUUUAAUAGUGAUGUUAGGGUGUCGGUUUUAGAUCUUUCCUGCUUUCUCCUGUGGGCGUUUAGUACUAUAAAUUUCCCUCUAAACUAUGCUUUAUAUGUGUCCCAGAGAUUCUGGUACAUUGUGUCUUUGUUCUCUUUGGUUUCAAAAAACUUAAUUAUUUCUGCCUUAAUAUCAUUAUUUACCCAGUAGUCAUUCAGAAGCAAGUUGUUCAGUUUCCAUGUAGGUGUGCGGUUUUGAGUGAGUUUCUUAAUCUUGAGUUCUAAUUUGAUUGCACUGUGGUCUGAGAGACUGUUUGUUAUGAUUUUCAUUCUUUUGCAUUUGCUGAGGAGUGUUUACUUCCAAUUAUGUGGUCAAUUUUAGAAUAAGUGCCAUGUCGUGCUGAAAAGAAUGUAUAUUCUGUUGAUUUGGGGUGGAGAGUUCUGUAGAUGCCUAUUAGGUCCACUUGGUCCAGAGCUGAGUUCAAGUCCUGAAUAUCCUUGUUUUCUGUCUUGUUGAUCUGUCUAAUAUUGACAGUGGGGUUUUAAAGUCUCCCACUAUUAUGUGUGGUAGUCUAAGUCUCUUUGUAGGUCUCUAAGAGCGUGCUUUAUGAAUCUAGGUGCUCCCGUGUUGGGCGCAUGUAUAUUUAGGAUAGUUAGCUCUUCUUUUUGCAUUGAUCCCUUUACCAUUAUGUAAUGCCCUUCUUUGUCUUUUUUUAUCUGUGUUAGUUUUCUGUUUUAUCAGAGACUUUUCUGUUUUAUCAGAGACUAGGAUUGCAAUCCCUGCUUUUUAUUUUUUUCUUUCCAUUUGCAUGGUAAAUCUUCCUCCAUCCCUCUAUUUUGAGCCUAUGUUUGUCUUUGCACAUGAGAUUGGUCUCCUGAAUACAGCACACCAAUGGGUCUAAUUUGCCAGUCUGGUUGGGGUGUUUAGCCCAUUUACAUUUAAGGUUAAUAUUGUUAUGUGUGAAUUUUUUGAUCCUGUCAUUAUGAUGCUAGCUGGUUAUUUUGCCCGUUAGUUGAUGCAGUUUCUUCAUAGUGUCAAUGGUCUUUACAAUUUGGUAUGUUUUUGCAGUGGCUGGUACCAGAUUUUCCUUUCCAUAUUUAGUGCUUCCUUCAGGAGUUCUUGUAAGGCAGGCCUGGUGGUGACAGACUAUCUUAGCAUUAGCUUGUCUGUAAAUGAUUUUAUUUCUCCUUCACUUAUGAAGCUUAGUUUGGCUGGACAUGAAAAUCUGGGUUGAAAAUUUUUUUCUUUAAGAAUGUUGAAUAUUGGCCCCCACUCUCUUCUGGUUUGUAGGGUUUCUCCCGAGAGAUCUGCUGUUAGUCUGAUGGGCUUCGCUUUAUGGGUAACCUGGCCUUUCUCUCUGACUGUUCUUAACAUUUUUUCCUUCAUUUCAACCUUGGUGAAUCUGACAAUUAUGUGUCUUGGGGUAGCUCUUCUCGAGGAGUAAAUUUGUUGUGUUCUCAGUAUUUCCUGAAUUUGAAUGUUGGCCAGUCUUGCUAGGUUGGGGAAGUUCUCCUGGAUAAUAUCCUGAAGAGUGAUUUCCAACUUGGUUCCAUUCUCCCCAUCACUUUCAGGUAUGCCAAUCAAACAUAGGUUUGGUCUUUUCACAUAGUCCCAUGUUUCUUGGAGGCUUUGUUCAUUCCUUUUUAUUCUUUUUUCUCUAAUCUUGUCUUCAUGCUUUAUUUCAUUAAGUUGAUCUUUAAACUCUGAUAUCCUUUCUUUCACUUGAUCAAUUCGGCUUCACGAAUACUUGUGUAUGCUUCACGAAAUAUUCAUGAAUACUUGUGUAUGCCACACUUGAUACUUGUGUAUGCUUCACGAAGUUCUCACGUGUUUUUCAGCUCCAUCAGGUCAUUUAUAUUCUUCUCUAAACUGGUUAUUCUAGUUAGCAAUUUCUCUAACCUUUUUUUCAAGGUUCUUAGCUUCCUUGCAUUGGGUUAGAACAUGCUCUUUUAGCUUGGAGGUGUUUGUUAUUACCCACCUUCUGAGGCCUACUUCUGUCAAUUCGUCAAGCUCAUUCUCAGUUCAGUUUUGUUCCCUUGCUGGUGAGGAGUUGUGAUCCUUUGGAGGAGAAGAGGCAUUCUGCAUUUUGGAAUUUUCAGCCUUUUUGCACUGGUUUUUCCUCAUCUUCGUGGAUUUAUCUACCUUUUGUCUUUGAUGUUAGUCACCUUCGGAUGGGGUUUUUGUGUGGACGUCCUUUUUGUUGGUAUUGAUGCUAUUCCUUUCUGUUUGUUAGUUUUCCUUCUAACAGUCAGGCCCCUCUGCUGCAGGUCUGCUGGAGUUUGCUGGAUGUCCACUCCAGACACUGUUUGCCUGGGUAUCACCAGCAGAGGCUGCAAAAUAGCAAAGAUUGCUGCCUGUUCCUUCCUCUGGAAACUUCAUCCCAGAGGGGCAUCCGCCAGAUGCCAGCCGGAGCUCUCCUGCAUGAGGUGUCUGUCGACCCCUGCUGGGAAGUAUCUCCCAGUCAGGAGACACGGGGGUCAGGGAACCACUUGAGGAGGCAGUCUGUCCCUUAGCAGAGCUUGAGCACUGUGCUGGGAGAUCUGCUGCUCUCUUAAGAACUGACAGGCAGGAAUGUUUAAGUCAGCUGAAGCUGUGCCCACAGCCGCCCCUUCCCCCAGGUGCUCUGUCCCAGGGAGAUGGGAGUUUUAUCUAUAAGCCCCUGACUGGGGUUCCUGCCUUUCUUUCAGAGAUGCCCUUCUCAGAGAGGAGGAAUGUAGAAAGGCUGUCUGGCUACAGUGGCUUUGAUAAGCUGCCGUGGACUCUGCCCAGUUUGAACUUCUCAGUGGCUUUGUUUACACUGUGAGGGGAAAAUCGCCUACUCAAGCCUCAGCAAUGGUGGAUUCCCCUCCCCCCACCAAAUGAAUGUCCCAGGUCGACUUCAGACCGCUGUGAUGGCAGUGAGAAUUUCAAGCCAGUGGAUCUUAGCUUGCUGGGCUCCCUGGGGUUGCUAUCCAUUGAGGUAGACAAUUUGGCUCCCUGGCUUCUGCCCCCUUUCCAGGGGAGUGAAUGGUUCUGUCUUGCUGGCAUUCCAGGUGCCACUGGGGUAUGAAAAAAAACUCCUGCAGCUAGCUUGGUGUCUGCCCAAACAGCCACCCAGUUUUGUGCUUGAAACGCGGGGCCCUGGUGGUGUAGGCACCCAAAUGAAUCUCCUGUUCUUUGGUUUGUGAAGACCAUGGGAAAAGCAUAGUGUCUAGGCUGGGAUGCUCUGUUCCUCAUGGCACAGUCCCUCACGGCUUCUCUUGGCUAGGGGAGGGAGUUCAUUGACCCCUUGCACUUCCUGGGUGAGGCGAUGCCUCACCCUGCUUUGGCUUGCUCUCCAUGGGCUGCACCCACUGUCUAGCCAGUCCCAGUGAGAUGAACCGGGUACCUCUGUUGGAAAUGCAGAAAUCACCUGCAUUCUGCGUUGAUCUUACUGGGAGCUGCAUACCGGAGCUGUUCCUAUUCGGCCAUCUUGCCAGCCACCCAUCUAGUUUUGUUUUUUCUCUUUUUUAAAUUUUUUUAGAUGUAGUCUUGCUCUGUUGCCAAGGCUGGAGUUCAGUGGCGUGAUUUUGGCUUACUGCAACCUCUGCCUCCCAGGUUCAAGCAAUUCUCCUGCCUCAGCCUCCUGAGUAGCUGGGAUUACAGGCAUCUGCCACCACGCCUGGCUAAUUUUUGUGUUUUUAUUAGAGAUGGGGUUUCAUCAUGUUGGCCAGUCUGGUCUUGAACUCCUGAUCUCAGGUGAUUCACUUGCCUCAACCCCCCAAAGUGCUGGAAUUACAGGUGUGAGCCAUCACGCCUGGCUGUUUUUCAUUUUGUAAAAGAUGGUUAAAAAUUCAUGACGGGGCUCCUGAAAUAAGGCAUCAAGCAGUAAGCUCUAAGCAUAGAUGUUUGAGAAACAGCAGCAGUCAGGCGUGCAUUCAUGAUGGGGGAAGCACCUCUGAGCAAAGGUACGGGUGGUCAGGACUCCACGGGGCAGAGAGAUAGGAAGCAGCAGGCUCUUUGGUCACAUAUUUUCAGGUAAUGCAUCUGAGAACUCCCAUGCAUUAAUACAGAAACUUGGCUUAGAGGGACGAGGGCCAAGAAUGAGCAUAAAGAUUCUUUAUGCUUCCUAAAAUAAGACCCUGAAAAUAGCACAAUACACUAAAAGCCUAUUAAUAUAAUUUUUCAUAUGUAUGUUACAAUUAAUUCUAUUUACUACCUCUUACUAGCUUUUAAAGGUUUUUUAUUGUUGUUAGAGAUAAGAUGCAUAAGAAAAAAGACACUUUUUAAUAUUUAGGGCUGGUCCUCUAGACACAAUCCUGAUGCCAUUCUGGUCUUACACCUGGGAAUGGGGCUGCAAAAUGGAAAUCUCCCAGAGAAGGAAAGAGAGUUUGCAAUGAGCUAUCCUGGGAAGGAGCCCUCCAGCAGGGCUUGUUUCCUGCCAGGAGCAAGUUCAUAUCAGCUGAAAGAGGCUAGAGAUGAACUGUCAGAUGUGGCCACUGAGGGUAGUAGCCAUAAAUAGUUAUAUCCACGCAUGCCAAAAGAAACGAGAUCCCCAGCAAGGGGAAUUUUUUUUUUUUUUUUUGGCAGAAAAGUAAUUGAGAAAAAGGAAAUGGCAUUUGGAUGUCAUCUGCCACAGCCCGGUGUUAUUAAGGCGAUACUACAACCAUACCUCUCAAGUAAAUACUUUUCAGAGUCUUACGUUUUCUCCUUUCCUCUUCUAACUCUGGAGAAACCAAAGGCUUCAUACUGGAUUGGGAAAGAAGGGACAAGAGGUUUUAAAUUACAUGAAAUUGAAGUUUUCAUAUUGGAUCAGAGUUUUUUAAAUAUUGAAAUAAUUUUAGACUUACAGAAAAGUUAUGAAAAUAGUACAAUUUCCAUGUAACUUUCACCCAGGUUGCCCUCAUGUUAACAUCUUAUGUAACUGCUGUACAACUACAAAAAUUAAGAAAUUACAUUUGUAAAAUACUAUUGCCCAGACUAAAGAAUGCAACUGGAUGUCACCAGUAAUUUCACUAAUGUCCUUUUACUGUUCCAAGUUCCAACCCACAUUGCAUUUGGUAUUCACAUGCCCCUAGUCUCCUCCAAUCUAUGAUCAUCUUUCCUUAAUUUCUCCUUGUUUUUCACGACCUUGACACUUUGAAAGAGUCCUGGGCAGUUACUUUGUAGAAUAUCUCAGUUUCAGUUUGCUGAAGUUUUCUCAAGAUUGGAUUGGGGGCUUGUAUUUUGGCAAGAAUACAAGAGAACUGAUGUACUUUUCUCAUUGCAGAAUAUCAAGAGGUUUAUAACCCUGAUGUCUUAUUACUGGUGAUGUUAACAAUAAAAACUUGGUUAAAGUGAUGCCUUCAGGGCUAAUUCAUUAUAAGGUUACUACUUUUCCCUUGUAAUUAAUAAAUAGCUUGAGGGAGACCCCUUGAGGCCAUGCAAAUAUCCUUUUUUUUUCUUCAAACUUUUAUCCGCUAAUGUUGGCAUCCUGCCUUCACCAAUUAUUACUAUAAUGUAGUACUGAUGAUUUUCCACUUCCCACAUUUCUUCUACAUUUAUUAAUUGGUGUUCUUUUGUAAUGAAGAGAUGUCCCUUCUACAUUUAUUUAUUCAAUUAUUUAUAUCAGUAAGAACUCAUGAAUAUUUAUUAAAUUCUACAAGUUGUAAUCCAAUACUAUCAAAAAUUGUUUUAGCUUUUGACCAUUGGAAACGCUUUCAGGUGCGCUUCUCUUUUGCAACAUUUAAAUGUCGCCAUUUUUGGGGGUUCUUUGCAUUUAUUUUACUCUUUGUACCACAAGAUGUUUCAAGUUAAUCUUGUUUUUUUCCUGCCCCAAAAUAGAAAUUGGCCACUUCAAGGAGCAUGUUUUUCUGUUCAGAAUCCAAUCCAGUAUCCGACAUCUCAUUGAAUCUUCAUGUCUAAAACUAGUUUGGUUCCCUUAUUUUUCUAGAAUGAUAUAUAAUAACCGAAAUCUGGGUGCUAGAUGUGUUUAUUGCUACUGGAGUGAAUGGUGACUCCAGGUAUUCUCAGUGACAGAGCUUGGAAAUACAUGUAAUAUGUGUGUAAAUAGCAACCCAUUCAUACACACAUACAAAUACCUGUUUUCUUAUCUGUACAUAUACACACAAACACUACACACUCAUGCAUGCAUGAAUGGAUAUAUGAUGAUUGUAAGUUCAUAUUGAUACUUCUGAUUACAAUCAAAUAUCUCUUGGUUCAUUCUAGCCUACUCUUUCCUGGGUCUUAUUUGUAAAUCUUAAAGUUGAAAAACCUGGCUCUUGUUAUACACAAUUUACAUAUUUAUGAGAUCUAGUAUAAAAAUAAAGUAGUUUCAAAAUUAGUACAUCAUAUCCCUGUGAGAUACAAGUGUCCUAACAAGGUAUGUCUUUAUAUUUGAGUAUGUUGUUUUCUGUCUUUAGCCUGAUGGUAUCCAGUUAAAAUACUCUUUUCCAAAAUAAUUUAGGCUAAUUAUUUUCUCCCUAUUCCAUUUAGUAUGGUUGUUAUUCAUUUUUAAUACAUUAGAUUCAGUUAUUACAAGUCAUAUUCAUCGUGGUUUCCCCCACAUAUUGUUGUUGAUUUUUAAAAAAUUUGCACAUAUUAAAAUUUACUUUUUGUGAUGGAUAGUUCUAUGGGAUUUGAUAUAUGCAAUGAAUUGUAUAUUUAUCACAGAAGUCAUGUAGUUAACAAACCUUUUCACACCAAACUCCUGUCAACCAUUGAUCUAUUUUUCCUCCCAAUAGCUUUGCCUUCUCUAGAAUGACAUACAAGCAAUGCCAUACAAUGUGCAGUCUUUUGACUAUAACUUCUUAAAUUUUGCAAAAUGCAUUUUAUUAUUUUAUCCAUUUUUUAACUGCUAAAUAGUAUUUUGCAUUACAUUAUGUGGAUGUGACACAGUUUGUUUAUGCAUUAACCAACUGAAUAAUAUUCAAGUUCUUUCAAAAUUUUGGCAAAUAUGAAUAAAUCUACUAUAAUCAUUUGUAUACGGAUUUUUGUAUAAGGUUUUAUUUCACUUGCUUAAAUACCUACAAGGGGAAUUGCUGACGUGGUAAGUAUAUUUGUAACUUCAUAGAAAAAACAAUCUAUAAAAAAUAGUAAAUAAAAUAAAAUAAAAUAAUAAAAAAUAAAAAAAUAGUAUUCUACACUAUUGUACCAUUUUGCACUCUGACCAAUAUAGGCAAGUUCCAGUUGCUCUGCAUCCUCACCAGCACUUAAAAUUUAAUUUUUUAAGCCAUUGCAAAAGAUUUGCAAAGGGUAUCUCAUUAUGGUUUUAAAUUAUUUUCCCGUAAAAGUGACUAAUAUUUCCCCAGUGAUGUUGAGUAUCUUUUCACAUACCUCUUUGGAUUUCUAUAGCUUCUUUGAUGAUGUAUCUGUUCUCAUCAUCCAUCUUUUUCAGUUGAGUUUUUUCCUUUUUUAAAUUUUUGUAUUAUUCUUAACUAUUAGGUUGGUGCAAAAGUAAUUGCGUUUUUUGCCAUGACAUUUAAUGGCUAAAACUUCAAUUACCAAUAACACAUAAUAAUUGACGUGUUUGUACAAUUUCAUUUUAAUGAACACGUAAUAAUUAUACAUAUGCAGGAGCGUGAAAUGUUUGAAUAUAUAUAUGGUGUAAUAAUCAAAUCAGGGUACUUAGCAUUUCCAUCCUCUUAAACAUUCAUCGUUUUGAAUGUGAGAACAUUCAAUAUCCUCUAUUCUCGCUAUUUUUAAAUAUGCCAUACAACAUCAUUAACUAUAAUCAGUCUUCUCCAUAAUAGCACACCAGAACUUUUUCCUUGUAUCAAACUGGGACCUUGUACCCAUUAACCAAUCUUUUCUCAACCCCUUCUUCCUCCCUUCCCCAGCCUCUGGUAACCACUCUCCUACUCUAUUUCUAUGAGAUCACCCUUUUUAGAUUCAGCACAUGAGUGAUAUCAUGUGGUAUUUGUCUUUCUGUGCCUGGCUCACUUCAGGUAACAUAAUGUUCUCCAGGUUCAGUCAUGUUGCCACAAAUGCCAAAAUUUCAUUCUUUGUAUGGUUGAAUAGUAUUCCAAUGUGUAUAGAUAACCAACUUUUCUUUAUCCAUUUAUUAGUUGAUGGACUCUUGGUUUGAUUCCAUAGCUUGGCUAUUGUGGACAGUGCUGCAGUAAACAUGAGGGUGCAGAUAUCUCUUCAACAAUCCAAUUUUAUUUCUUUUGGAUUGGAUAUAUACCCACUAGUGGUAUUGCUGGAUCACAUGGUAGUUCUAUUUGUAAUGUUAUGAGGAACCCCCAUACUGUUUUUCGUAGUAGCUGUACUGAUUUUCAUUCCCACCAACAGCAUAUGAGUUUCCCUCCCUCUUUCUUCAUAUCUUCACCAAUAUUUAUCUUUUGUUGUUUUGAUAAUCAACAUUCUAAAUGGGGUGAGGUAAUAUAUAAUUAUGGUUUUGAUUUACAUCUUUCUAAUGAUUAAUGAUGUUAACUGCCUCUUUUUAUUUAUUUAUUCAUUUAUUUUGAGACAGGGUCUCACUCUGUAGCCCAGGCUGGAGUGCAGUGGUGUGAUCAUGGCUCACCGCAUCCUCGACUUCCCAGGCUCAAGCCAUCGUCCCACUUUAGCCUCCAAGAAGCUGGGACUAAUGGUGGAUGCCACCACACCUGGCUACUUUUUGUAUUUUUUGAAGACAGGAUUUUGUCAUGUUGCCCAGGCUGGUGUUGAACUCCUGGGCUCAAGAGAUCCACCCACUUUGGCUUCCCAAUGUUAACCAUCUUUUUAUGUAUCUAUCGGCCGUUUGUAUGGCUUAUUUUGAGAGAUGUCUAUUUAGAUCUUUUGCUCAUUUUAAAAAUCAGAUUGUUUGCCUUUUCCUUGAGUUAUUCGAGUUCCUUACAUAUUCUGCAUAUUAAUCCUUGUGCUAUUAAUCAGAUGUGUAGUUUGCAAAUAUUUUCUUCCAUUCUGUGGGUUUUUGUCUUUACUUUAUUGAUUGUUUUCUUCACUAUGCAGAAGCUUUUUAGUUUAAUGAAAUCCCAUCUAUCUUUUUUUGCUUUUGAGUUCUUGUCUAAAAACUCUUGUCCAGACAAUAUCAUGGAGCAUUUUCCCUAUACUUUCGUCUAGCAGUUUUAUAGUUUCUGGUUUUACAUUUAAGUCUUUAAUCCAUUUUGACUUGAUAUUUGUAUAUGGUGAGAAAUAGGGGUGUAGUCUCAUUCUUCUAUACGUGGAUAUCCAGUUUUCCGAACACCUUUAGUUGAAAGGACUGUCUUUUCCCCAAUGUGCGUUCUUAGUGCUUUUGCCAAAAAUCAGUCAGCUGUAAGUAUGAGGGUUUAUUUCUAAGUUCUUUAUGUGUUUAUUUUUAUGCCAAUAUUGUGCUGUUUUACUUACUAUAGCUUUGUAGUAUAUUUUGAAGUGAGGUAGUAUGAUACUUCAACAUUUUUUCUUUUCCUUCAAGAUCAUUUUGGCUAUUAAGGGUAUUUUGUGGCUCCAUACAAAUUUUAGGACUUUUUAAUGUUUUAAUGAAGUAUGUCAUUAGUAUAUUAUUUGUUUACUUAUUGCUACAUUUCAAUAAUUUUUUUUGGAGUGGGGACAGGGUCUCCAUUUGUCACCUGGACUGGAGUGCCAUGGUGUGAUUAUGGCUCACUGCAGCCUUGACUUCCUGGGCUCUAGCAACCCUCCAGCCUCAGCUUCCUGAGUGGCUGGGACAACAGACAUGUGCCACCACACCCAGCUAAUUUUUUGUGUGUAUUUUUUGUAGAGACCAGGUUUCGCUAUGUUGCCCUGGCUAGUCUCAAAUUUGUGGGCUCAAACAAUCCUCCUGCCUGGGCCUCCCAAAAGUGCUGAGAUGACAGGCAUGAGCCACCAUGUUGGCCUAAGAAUUCUUGAUAUGUUUUCUGGUUAAAAGUUCUCCGCAAAAAUGUGAUUUGCAAAUACUUUCUUCCAAUAUAUAGCUUGUCUUUCCAUUCUCUUAAAAGGGUCUCUUGUAUAAUAAAUAUUUUAACUUAUACUAAAGUCCGAUUUAUCUUUUUUUUCCUCUCAUACAUCAUGCUUCAGGUGUUAUAUUUAAAACUCUUUGCCUAGUCAAAGUCAUAAGUAUUUUAUCCUCUAAUUUUUAACAGAAGGUUUCUGGUGUUAGGUUUUAUAUUUAGAUCUUUAAUUCAUUUUAAGUAUAUUUUUAUAUAUUAAUGUCAUGCAAGGUAUGGAUCCAAGUUUUCUGUUUUUUGUUUUUCUACAUAUGGAUGUCCAAUUGUUCAGUAGUAUUUAUUGAAAAGACUACACUUUCUCUAUUGAUUACCCAUGCACUGUUAUAAAAAAUCAGUUGAAUAUCCUUAUGGGGGUAUUUUUCUAGGCCUAUUCUGUUUCAUUGAUCGGUGUCUAUAUUUUCACCAAUACCAAGCUGUCUUGAUUACAGUAGCUUUAUAGUAAUGCUCAAAGUUAUUGAUCACCAGGGAAAUGCAAAUAAAGACCAUAAUGAGGUACCAUUCAUUCACCAUAAUGGCUAAGACUGAAAAAACUGAAUGCCACAUGCAAGAAAGUGUGUAGAGCAGUCAGAACUCUCACACGUUAUUGUUGGUUUCAUAAAAGGUGCUGUCACAUUGGAAAACAAUCUGGCAGUUUCUUCUCAGACUAAUCACAUACAUUUUCUAUCCCAGUAAUUCCAGUUCUAGGUAUUUAGUCAAUGGAAAUGAAAGUAUACAUCUACAAAAAUCUUGCAAAAGACUGUUUAUUGCCACUUUUUCCCAUAAUAAGCCCACACUGAACACAGCUUGAGGUUUCUCAAUAGAUAGUCAAAUGGGAGAAUUAACUCUAAUAUUUCAUUUCUUAAAAGGAUAUAUACUUACAUUAAAUGUCUAAUUAAAGUAGAUAUAUAAAAUUUGAUUUAGAAAUAUAUAAUUAAGUCAUGUUAAUUUGUUAAAAAUACAAAAAAUUUAAAAAGACAAAAUUAAAAAUUACUGAUCAUCUUUGUCUAAUAUUGCAUUGAAUGGCCCAGUGAUCAAGUAUGUGAGCUGCAGAGUCAUAUUGGGUUUGAAUUCUGGUCUUUCCACCUACUGGUUUUGUGAUUUCAGACACAUUUUGUUUCACUUCUCCAAGUCUCAGGUUUCCACAUCUAAAGUGAAGUUAGUCCUACCUGCCCAGUAGAGUUGCUGUGCAGAUUCGAUGAACAACCAUGUGGAGUGCUGAGUACACUGCCUAGAGCACAGUAAAUUUGUUUGGCAUCAAUAUACAUAGUUGAAUCAUAGGAUAUUAAUCUUAUACGAGUCUUUUAAGGUUGUAUGUUGCUUGCAAGUUUGCUUAGAUGAUGAUCUCAUUUUUAGAAAGCUAAUUCUACAAUGUAAAAUAAUGUAAUCAAUUUAUACUCUCUUUGAGGUAAUUUUUGUUUAAUAAAUUCACCUGGGACAAUUUUCACCACAAAAAGGAAUUUCAUAGGUGAGCUGAAUUCAUUUCGUAAAAUCCUUUUACUUUUCAAACUGUUAAACAAAAAUAUCCUGUGUCUCUGGAGUUUUGUAGGAAUCAGUAGUGGGAUAGUUGUCCUGCAUCCAUUAAUGCUCUUCCACCUUGGCCUGAGCGAUAGACGAAGGACAACCUACCCUAGAGGAGUCAAGCACAGAAUCAAGCACAUUCCUCAUGGUGCUCCCCAUUGUGGUUGCCUCCCCUAAAGGUACUAUUUUAUGCUUUUGGUAAAAGAAGCCAGCUCUUUCAAGGGAGGAAAAAAGAUUUGGCAAAACUCAAAAGAUCUCAAAAAACUAUACUUGGGAGUUGUGUCACCAUAAGGUCCCAAAGCCCAGCAGUGGGGCUGCAUUUGGGAAGAGGGUGGCUGGUGCUUCCAGUCUAUGCAAUCACUUACCCUCCUCUAAGUAAAUCCACAAAGUUUUACAGCAUUGUUAUCACUUUGGGAAUUCUGUAUGAAACCCUUGUAGGAUAAUUUUAUGGAUUACUGGAAAAUGUAACAAUGGGCAAACAUUACUUUCACAAUCAGAAAAUAAAGCAAAUGUAUCUUUAUCAUGGGAAAAAAACAAUUUUUCUUUAAAAGCCAUUUGGAGGCUGAUCCAUUGUUUUAUUUCAGUAUUUUGAAAUUUAUUUUUCAUGGUCUCCCUUUUCCCUGUUAAUUAUUAAAUUGUCUAUUGGAAUAUUAACCCUUCUAAGCUUCAUCUAUAAUGUCUUCAUCUAUAAUAUCUAUAAAAUGAGGAAAAUAAGGUCACUUUAAGGUCAACAAAAAGUACUUCAAGAGUUCUCAGAAAAGGGCAACAGUAGCCAUUUCCCACUGCGUAUCUAGUGAGUCUACUAUGUUCAUACUUAGACAUAGAAGUGACAUUUUAUAUCUGACAGGAGAAAUAAGAUGAGAUCAUUUUUAUAGUCUACCUAGAAUGAUGAAACAAUAUUUGACAUCUUUUAUUUUACUGAUAAAUAUAUUAUUCAUGGAAAGAACUUAAAAAAUGUAGGCCAAAUGCUUACAUAUUUUAUUUUCUGCUUCCAAAGAUAUUUUAUUUCUUUUUCUUGAGGAAACAAUCUUUAGGAAUUUUUCUUUGAUGUUACCUGGUACAGUGUUGCAUUUCCUGGGAAAGCAUUGGGGUAGUAAAACCUGGGGUAUCUAGAAGGUUUGCCUGGAAUAAGCAGCACUGAUACACACAGAAUACGGACACUUUGUUGGUGGUGACUGCUAGCUCUGUUCUGUUUGUUUGUGUUGAUAUUGACCAGGUUAGUAACCAUUUCAAUCACUUUAUUCCUUGUAGAGUUUGGAACUAGAGGGGCUUCCACCUUGGCAUGGUAUGCUAGUGAUCCUCUCUUGCUAUUUUGCUCCAGUAGCCUGUUAAAGGGAAUUGCUGCGAGGUCUGUGCGCUUGGCUUCCUCCCAUGGCUCUUUUUCUGUGAUUAGAUUCUGUACCAUUUCCCAUUGUUCAUGGAAGCCUGUGUGAAAGAAAGGAAUCCCAGGUCACCUAGUCAAACUGUGCAAAGUAAAGCAAGGGCCACUCUUUGUUUUGGUGUUCAGUUUUCUCAGUUUUUGCAAAUGAGUAGUGCUAUCUCAUGGUGGCUUUAAUUUGUGUUUACCUGGUGACUAGGGAACAUUGUUUUGUUUUCAUAGUCCUAAUCCACCAGUGCAUAUCCAUGAAUUCAUGUUGAUAAGAAGAACAACAUAUUACUUUUUGACUCUUUCCUCUAUUUGUUUAUGUCACAGGAUAUUUGGGGAUGUCACUUCAUCAGCUAGAAAUCUCUGUGGCCAGUGACGCCUUUGCCUGAGUUUUUACUUGGGCCUGCCGGGCUCGUUCUGCCCACUCAGCCUGGCAGGCUGUGCUCUGCUCGUGGUACCAGCCCGAAUCUCACGCCUGCCAAGGACGAGCCAGGCACGGAGCAUUGAGGGGUGUGUGAGCGAACAAAUGUGGGGUCCGGCCACUGCGCACAGCCAGGCACACCAGCUGUGGCAGGGUGGGCAGCUCCAGCCGCUGAUAUGGGCUCUGGCUCCCUGUGAGGCUGCGGCUGGACCACUUGUACCGCAAGCAGCUUCCAUGGCUGGCACUCCAUGGAGCAUGCAACCCCGGCCGCACCUCCCACUGCAGCCAGCAUCAUGGCAGCAGCUGCUCCAGACGGGCUGCGGCUGCCAUCAUUUAUGCCAUACUUCAAAGCCCUGAAAAGCUCCUUUUGCCCAAGUUUUAGCAUGCAUAUCCAUUAGAGAAUUGUCUACAUCACUUUAGAUCAGCUCCCUUGCAGAGACGGUACCACUGCUGCAGCCUCCAGCGGACAUUGUUGCCUCUGUGCAACUGCCAUGCAUCUUGAGCUCUGCUCUUGUUCCGGCUGGGUAUUGCUGCAUCUUCUUGGAAGCACAGAUCCUUUUUCUGGAUACUGUUUCACCAGAUGGACGCCAGCUCUGUCACCUUCUAAUAACAAUUACUGAAGUCUCCGAUUGGGCACGUCACUGAUGCACUGAGCCCUCGAGGUGCAAAACUGAAAGACUGCCUGAAAACAAGGGAGGGGAAAGCCACUUUCCCCUUUUCUCUUACAGUUUUUGAUGGGAGUCCCAAGGCAGAGUUGUAUGUGCAUGUGUUGUACAUUGCCUUCAAGUUUACUAGCAUUUUAAUUCUGUUCUUGCUUCCUGUUCACUUAGAGUUCCAUCCCCUUUACAAAGAGAUCUUUUGCUACCCUAUCCCAUGAAUUUUCUGGACAUCCUCUGGCAUGUGUUAAGAAUAGUUAGGUCCAGAUUAUGCCAUCUGCUCCAAAAAUAUACUUUCAAAUUGGUAGCGAUUACCUGAGAUAUACUUUAUUAUAUGCAAAUGAGUCUGCUUUUAUAAAAAGAUUCAUUCUUAAGGUGUAGUGGAGAUGGGAAGGUCAAGGGAUAGAAGGUUGCAGAGUGAGAAAAGAAAUCAGAAAUAAGCAGCUGUUUUCCUCUGACACCCACACAAUGAUGAAUGUGUAUCAUGAUGUCUCCUUUGCUUCUUCAGUGACUCACCCCUGCCUGGUAUGGGAUUCAGAAAGGCCCACAAGAGCUAGCUGCCUGGCUUACACAGUAAGUUAGGUAUAUACUUUAUAACUCUGAUUAUUUCUCCUGCAGUAGCUCAAGGGCUCAGAGAUCAGAGUAAACCUUCUUCAGUUGAUACCAGCUCUACACUGGUUCAACCCAGCUAAGUUGCUUUUAAAUUUCGUAUUUCUCACAUUGUCACAGAACUGCAAAUCCUCCACAGGGGCCAGGUGUGGGUGAGCUGACCUAAGCUAUACCUUGAGCGAUUCACCGAAGCAGUCCGCUGAGGUCACCCUUAACCUUGGUUUCCCGCACAAUCAUUCAGAGCGCUCCCAGAGAGCUAAAGAAAAGCUAUAGUUAGAUUUUUUCAUUUAAAAUUUGGCACUGCCUGAAGUCAUUCCCAUUCCUUCCAAGGACUGUUGCCAUUAUAUUAAAAAGAGUAAAUUUGCUGCUGCAUUACUUACUGCCCAGAAAAUCCAGCUGAAACCUGCUACUGCCAAAUCUGCAGUUUCAGUGCAAGGCCAGAGAGUUUAAAUAGCUCCUGCUAGUGAGGAUUUUCUGCUCUCUAGAAAAAAAAAAGUUGAUAAAGCCUCAGUUUGAAGGAUUGGACAUGGACUAUUAGAAACAGAAAAUGGUUGUCCCAUCUCUCUCAAUUUCUGACUGUCCUAUUUGCAUAAUUCUUAAACGUAAAAUCUCCUAAGAGAUGUGGUGCUCCGUGUCUUUGAUCAGUCAGGGAAUUUAACUUUACUUACAUUUUACGAUAGUCCCUCAAGUUCUUCUUUACAGGCCCAUUCUCCACACCUAAAUGUUUAUGUUUCUAGGAUCCUAAGUAUACAAAGCUAUUUAAAAAUUAACACGAAAGACAGAGGAAAGAGCAGUAAAAGAAUGAAAGUUUUUUUCUCAGAAGGUCUCCACAUAGGGUCAUGAUCUCCUUCUGGGAUUUAAUUAAAUUUUAUUUUCUUAUUUCAUAGCCCUGCAAACAAAAAAGCAGGAAGAUAUGGACGUGCUUUUUUUUUGUUUUGUUUUCAUUCUUUUAGCUCCAAAUUACCUUGGACAUAAACUUUUCCAGAAGAUGGCUAUGUAAUGUGAGGAGUUGCAGGGAAAAUAAAAAAUUAAUAAGAAAAACCUUAUUUUCAUACAAGUGCAAUUUUUUGGAAAGAAGUUUAAAAUUUUGUAGUUAGUAGGAUAUUACCAUCUUCUUAAAAUAUAUUCAGAGAAUCAAAUACGACAACUGAUUGUCUAGUCUGAUCACAAAUUAGGAGCUACAUUUGGAGCUAUGGAAAUCACAUCUUAAUUCUCUACUAUUUUGGUUGGAUGAUCCCAAACACCUAAGAAUUAUGGACUCCCACAUCCUGACAUAGGCUAUCACAUUUAUAAGGAACUCUGUUAAAAUGUUCAGGGCAACUCCAUCCUUCCUGAUGUUCCUUCUACCCAGAAGUUUUAUUUAAUUUCUGGAGGCCAUACAGAACACAUUUAACCCUUUUCCACAAGAGAUUACUUAAAGACUAUGUUCAUUCCUUCCUGAGAAUAUUGUGGCAUCUUAGAUAAAUAUUGUAUAGCUCAAUGAGUCAUAUGCCAUAGCUUGCGUAUUUCUUUUUUAGGUGUGCUUUGCCUGGUCUGUUUUUUUUAGGACUGUCAUUGGCCUCCUGGAGACUCUUUAGCAGGGAAGCAGACAGCUAGCAUGCCUGGAAAUUUAUUCCCCAAGGCCAGGAACUUUGAGCCAAGAGUACUAAUGGGGAAGUUUGAAAACCUGAUUCCCUUGCCUCUGUUCUGGACAACUUUGAGGUGUAUCUUCCAUUUGAGAGGUUUCCUGUAGAAUCAGGUUGACACAGAAUUAUGCCCUGCUUGGCUUUUUCUCCUCCCCUGCCCUGCUUCAGGGCAAUCUUUCUCCAACUACUUCCUUAAAAAACCACUUUUAUAUAAGUCCUCAUUUCUGAGUCUGUUUCUUGGUACUUAAGACAAUGUAUCUUCCUCUUAGUGUUUUGCAGUCAAAGCAAACAUUAUUUCAUGAAUGGUCUUAUCAGUAUACAGUAAAAUAGAAACAACUUCUAGUUUAUUCUAGGCACUGUAUUCCUACUGGCAUAGCCUAUGUUUGAAUUCUACGUUUAGUCAACCAUACCAUACCAUGGAUUGCUAUUACUGCCAAUCAAACCCCUAACAGGAUUUUCUGCAUGGGCUAUUAAAAAAGUAGAACCCCUUCAGUAGGCCUGAAGUUAUAAAGAAUAUAGUACUUAUAUUUUGUUUUUGCUUUCGUAACUCUUAACAAUUAUUGAGUUUACUAAUAUGGAAAUAUGCAAUUAUAUUAGUCAUAGUCAGACUUCCAGUUCUGAACAUAUUGUAGAUUUAAUAAGUCAAAAACUCUUCCACAACACAUAGAUUUGCUAGACAAAAUGCUGCAAACAAAAUCUUUUUUUUGCUUUUUAGUAUUUUAUUUUUCAAGAGGUAAUAUAUUUGCAUGGUAUAACCAUAAGAUGCAAAAAAGUAUUUAUGAUGAACUCUUUCCCCAAUCUCGGUGUGCAGUGGCUCUGCUUUCUUACACAGAAAUCAUAAAAAUCACCAGCUCAUCAUGUAAGUUGCUGAAGCUAUGAGAUAUAUAUCAUAUAUGAUAUUUAAGUAUAAUAAAUAUUUUUAUGUAUAAUAUAUAAAAGAAAUAUAUAUUUCAUAUAUAUUUAUAUAUGAUAUAUAUCAUAUAUCACAUAU